Molecule: long non-coding RNA, 78140 nt
Filed under: Ananas comosus (pineapple)
Lineage: Eukaryota; Viridiplantae; Streptophyta; Magnoliopsida; Poales; Bromeliaceae
Description: long non-coding RNA (ACOM_LNC024784)
Source: RNAcentral
GAAACUUCAGGAUUUGUAAUAGUUUUAUACAUAGGAUAUAAUAGAUUUAAAUUUCUUAAUCGGGCUAUAAUAUUUUGGACUGUAACACUAGAGUUAAAGUAGUUAUAAGAUGGAUGACUCUCUGGAAUGAAAAGUGGGGUGUCAUAUUUGGUAUCUAAGCUAACCAGGUAAAAGUGUGAGGUAAAUCUCGACUGAGUCAGAAUUAUAUAACGAGCAGAAUACGGCUCUCGGACUGACGACGAUUGUGAGUGAAGUGCAACUUCACACAAAGUCGGCUAAGUCUAGUAAGACGAGUCUUAUCUCGUAUGAUACUUGUCAAUGUGUUUGAGUGUGACAAGAACGUAAGACUCGUGACUUGAAGGUCAUAUAUAUGAAAUAAAAUAUGACUAACAUUUUUAAUCCGGUUAUGGUAUUUCAGGAGUUAGUUAGAUCUAACAAUUCAAUAGAGUUGUGCACGUAGAGUUAAGAGUAGUCCUCUGGUUGAUGAUGUUUUUCUAGAAAGCUUUACCUAAAUUUCUAAUUUAGUUUUUUUUUUUUUUUUUGUGUCAAAAUGUCUAUUAAAUUGGAUGGGAGUCGUCCAUAUCAAUAUUGAGACAUGUUUGUCACGUUUUACCAAAUUUUGUGGCGUGGCAAUGCACACAAAGGCUAACAGACUUUUUGACAGGGGAGAAUUGAAAACAAUUAAUAAAAAUGUUGGAGAACACUGCUCUUACUCAAAAUAAAUGAAAGUUCAACAUAUCCAAAUAAAAAAUAUAAAAAAAAUGCUAGUUAUGCACUCUGUUUUAAAAUGUAAAUCUUACAUCUUAUGAUCUACAGAUUUAAAAGUACUUUUUGAAUUUUUAGUCCGAAUUUUUUUUUUUUGGCUUUGUUUAUUUUUUAACCUGAGAAUGUGAAUCAAUAAUUAGAUUUCAAACUUAAAAUUUUGGAUAUCAAUCAUCAAUUUCUUUACGGCUCCUAAAGUUGAGCGGGAUCGCUAUAAAUAUAUUUAUCCUAUGAGCAAUGCCAGCCAUACACUCCGCUUCAUGGUAUAAACUUUAUACUCAUGGAUUUUUGGUGACUUAUAUUUUAUUACUCGUCAUAUUAAUUUUCUUAAAAAAAUAUUAGAAGUUAUAUGAAUUUUUAUCAAUUUCUGAAUUUAAAGGCGUAAGAUUUACACCGCAUAAGGACUGUAAACUUCCAUUUUUAUUUUAUUAUAUCUUCCACUCAUCAAAAUAUUUUUUAUAAAUUUCUAAAUAUUUCUUCAAAUACCUUUAAAUUUCUAUGACGUGCUAAUAAGAAUUAGAAUUUAGAAGACUAUUUUGAUAAUUUUAAAAUACCUUGAAAAUUUUUUAAUAAUAAUUAGGAAUAAAUAAAUAAUCUAGCAGCAGAGAGAGAGAGAGAGAGUGCGCGUGUUUUUAUUUAUUUAUUUACUUUUUUUUUUUCUAGAGAGAGAGAGAGAUGGGGGCGGGUGGUGGGGAGGAGCAGCAGGAGAAGGAGAAGGAGAAGUGGGGAUUGUCGUCGAUAUCGCUGGACGGGUUGCGGGACAAGAACGUGAUGCAGCUGAAGAAGCUCAACACCGCCCUCUUCCCCGUCCGAUACAACGACAAGUACUACGCCGACGCCCUCGCCUCCGCCGAUCUCACCAAGCUCGGUCGGUAACAACCCCUCCCCCUCUAAUCAACCCUAUACCCUAAAUCCAUCAUCCCCCCCUCCCUCUCUCUCUGGUCGAUUCAAACCCUAACAACAACCUUACCCUGACCCUAACCCUAACCCUAAUUGCGUGAUGGUGAUGAGGAGGAGGAGGAGGAGGAGGAGCUUGUGGUUAGGGGCAAUGCGAUUCUCGGUUGGUUUUAUAGCUGUUGCUACCAUUCCUUCUCUCUCUCUCUCUCUCUCUUUCGCUCGAUUGAGAUGCCGUAACUGGAUGGAUGGUGAUGAGAUUUGUGAUCAGCAGGAAACGAGCGAUUCUUGAUUGAUUGAUUGAUUGAUUGAUUGAUUGAUAAACAGCUGCUGGUGUCAGUUUUUCUAUAGAAGUUCUGCUUUGCGAUUUUCUCUGUCGAUUCGUCCUUCUUUGACGUUUGAAGCUAGCUAAUCCGAUGCAUGGGGGGGCCCCGAUUCGUUGUUGGGGUUUUGUGUUCUCCUGCUAUUUUGUGAUUCUUGAAUCGUUUGGGGCUGGUUAUAGAUGGCAUUUGAUUUUCUAGGGUUUUACGAACCAGGACAUGUAUGCCUGUUAUCUUAUUCUUCCUUGCUUUUUGGAUUCGUUUUUUUUGGGUUUCAGAAAGUAAGAAUUUGCACAAGGUCGGGUCGAAGAAAUUGAUUUGGAAUUGGUUAUGCGAAGUUCAUUAUAUUGUGAUCCAACCUUAUUUUGGAAGAAGACUUUGUGAACAAACUUGUUUAGGGUCAAGAAAUCUUUAUAUCAUUGUCGUCCAAAACACGCGCGCAAGUAAUUGCCAGUAAAACCCUACGAAGGAGUUGUAGUUGGUGAUUCUGACUUGCAAAAAUUUAAAACUUCAUGAUGCUAUACUGCUUAAGAGCUCUUUAAUCCUCCUGGUUUGGCUGAUUCGUCAAAUGUUAAGAUUAGUCUAUAGUAGUAGUAAGCCCGAGUGCAUCACAAUCAUAGAUUCCAGUGGUUGCUAUUUUAUUGAAUUUUCAUUAUUUCUUGUAUCAAACUUGCUGAUUCUUUCUGGGUUUAUUGUUACCUUUUGUAGCAUAUUUCAACGACAUCUGCGUUGGAUCAAUUGCGUGUCGUCUUGAGAGAAAGGAAGGAGGGGCCAUCCGUGUUUACAUUAUGACAUUGGGGGUUUUGGCACCAUAUCGUGGCCUAGGAAUAGGUGAGUUUUGUUUUUAUUUGUACAUUGCAUACUUCUGUUUCUGAGUUUAUUUACAAGAUAGAGUCCAAAUAUACACAUUCUCCUACUAUUAUACAUGAAUGCCUAAUCCUGAAUCUUACACUGUUGAUAUAAGCUUCAGCGAUAAAAUCAAUUUUAGCAAUGACCUAAAAUAAGAGAACCAAAUAUGCUAAAGAGUUAGAUGUGUCUGUUUAAAAGUACCUCAUUUCACUUUUGUUAUACACGUAGAGCACGUUGUAUAAAGUGGUACAUCACCGACCCCAUCAAACUGUAUUUCAUCCCUAUUUGCACCGUGUAGAAAGAUGGUUGGGAAAAAAUUGUAUGAUAGUAAGGUUAUGUAUUCAAUUAGGAUGCCAUCAGAAGAAUUUUUUUGGUCUUACGGCGCAACAGGCUGAUUGUUUCACUCGUAAUCUUCCAAAAGAGAAGAGUCUUGUAUGGAUACGAUGUUCUGAAUUGUCUUUAGAAACUAGAAUGAUGUUUGAGACACGUUAUUUUGAGUGGCAUGUUUCUAUUAACUCUUACUCCGAGUGGGAUGCACACACCUCUUGAACAGUACAUCCUAUUCUUCUUUCCAUGCUUUGAUAAUGUGGUCCAACAAAGAAAGAAAGAGAAUACCAACACUAUAAUAAUGCCAAAAACUCUGGACUCUCGACUAUGCGCCAUCAUAUCUGAUGUUCACUGUGCUCACUGCAUCCUAUUAGUAGAUCUUACUAGUAGAGAUCCAAUGCAUCAUUUGCAGACAAUGAUCUAAAACCAGCUGUUUUUGCUCGUGUCCACAAUCCUGUGACGCCCCAACUUUCCAGGUCACCCAUUUUAGGAUUAUUCCCGUCCUAGCACACUUAACUCUUUUAACUUCUUGGGUCUAGCCAUCAUCCAAAAUAUUUAAGCCGGGUUAAGAAUUUUAGUCCUAUUAUAUUUUAUAUAUAGGACUGUUUGUGGUCUCACAUUCUCCCCCCCUUAAGCCCUGACGUUCUCGUCAGGUUCAGACUCACAAGUAUCAGGUGAUGUGAGACUCGUCUUGCUAGUCUAAACCUGACCUUGUGGUAAGCUGCGCUCUACUACAACAGUCAACAGCAUGAGAGUCUCGCUCUCUUCGUUGUAUAAUCCUGGUUCACACUUUCGGCUAGUAAUUGGUUCUGAUACCAACUAUGAUGCCCUAACUUACCAGAGGGUCACCCAUCUUAGGACUACUGUCCUAACAUGCUUAACUCUCUCAACCUCUUAAGCCUAGCCACUAUUUAAAAUGUUUAAGCCGGAUUAAGAGUUUUAGCCCUAUUAUAUCUUAUAUAGAGGACUGGUCGUGGUCUCACAUUCUCAUGGCGUAUUUGAUCGUGUAAAACUCGAGAUAAAACUGGAACAUAAAUGGGAGAGCCCUCAUGGCAUAUUUGAUCGUGUAAAACUCUCAGACAAACUGAAACAGAAAUGGGAGCAUACCCAAAUGAAACCUUAGCAUAGUGUUGUCACAAAAACGUGAUAUUGUGGUAGCAUAUCACAAAAAAUAGGGGUUUCAUGAUCUGUCGUUGCAUUCUGUAAUUUUUUUUUUUCUCAUUUUUUUUUUCAAUUGUUAUGUUUUGUUUUCAUUACCAUACUGCUUAGGUUCAUCUUUUGGAACUUGGGCCUCACCCUGAAGCUCCUGCACCUUGUGGUUACAGGCACCAAGUUGUUGACACAUGUUUUGGAUCUGUCCGCAAAGCAAAACAUCUCAGAGAUUUACUUGCAUGUCCAGACAAACAACGAUGACGCCAUCGCAUUCUACAAGAAGUUUGGAUUUGAAAUCACAGAUACCAUCCAGAACUACUACACAAAUAUCACGCCGCCGGACUGCUACGUUCUCAGUAAGGUUGUUUCUCAUGCUAAUCCGAAGAAAUGAGUCUUGGUUAAUUCUAUGGCUGUUUCUCAUGUUAGUUGGCAGAAGUCAGUCUGGGUUAUUUUCCCUUAAUGAAAAUCUGAAUUAUCAGAGGGUAAAAGUGUAGUCGUCAUACCUAAGGUGAGGUGUUGAACUGCGAUAAAACAUUCCAGGCUUUGAGCAUUAAUAUUUAAUGGCUCUGUUGGACCUUUUUCAAAAAACUUGCUUUCGGUUCUGCUUUUAUUUUUUCAGCUGCUAUCGCAGUUAGUAUUCCUUGAGAAAAAACCUGGUACCUUUAAGGCUGGUGAAACGUUUUUUAAUUUUCAUAGUUACCAAACUGUUAUCCAUUAGUGUAUCAGUUAAGAAAAACCUGUCAUCCGUUGGCCCCUUCAUUCACAGAAUUUUAAGUAUGCAAAUAGGGAAAAAAAAAAUUACAAUAAUACAAAAAAAAAAAACUUUAUGUGCAACGAACAAGGCCUCUAGCAUUCAAUUAGCAGCAGCGAAAAAGCACAAUUAGUUAAUCUCUAGUCUCACCGAAUUGCAAGUGGAUGAUUAGAGAUAAAAUGUGUUUUAAGUCCACUAGCUUGGAAGCAGUGCGUUAAUAACAGCAGUAACAUCAGGAUAUUAACUUCACUUGUUUUGUUCAACCAAAUAUGUAACGAAGAACCUGCACGCUGCAAACUACACUACAAUGCCUACCUGCGCAUGCACAUGACCAUGUUAAGGCCCGAAACACCUUUUCUAGUUCACAAUAUUACAUUCCCAGUAGCUGGUAACCGCACACAGCCCAUACAUAAUAACAUGCAAUAUAAAGCCAUAUUUCAGUGUAACAAGUUAAUACAUAUACAACAAGAUGGAUAGAUCCGGGUCCUAUGAUUGUUACCUGCCUAUUAUUACCUGCACGGCAGAAAACUCGGAUGAUAAAAGCUACUAGAUCUGGUCAACAAGAACAAGAGAGAAGACGACCCUCAGAAAAUAAUGAGUGCUUGAAAGAAUAUACCUAUUAUUUAUUAGUUGUUGUUCGUCUGUUCAUGCUCGAUGAAGUCAAGAGCCUCCUCCUUCGAAACCACAUUCACAUGGCUCACCCUGUUUUUGUGCGUCACGCCAUAUAUCUUAUCUGCGACUUUAACGAGCUCCGGCCGGAACGUGGUAGUGAUGAACUGUGUAUUGGCCAUGUCAGCUAGCCUGCGAAUCAUAUCUAAGGAACAAAAGUGAAGGUUCACAUUGCAGAGCGAAACUACGAUUCUAUCUUGAAAAGAAACUAGUAUUUGUUUUUAAGUUAAAUUCAAAGGGCUUUAGGUAGCUUUAAAGGAGAAAACAUACUUUGUAUAACAGAGUGUGUCUUGGGGGAGGUUAAAAAAACCACAAAAUAAUAUUGGAUUGCCCAAAUUGCGUGCAGUCGCCAGAGUGCAUCAAUAAUUUCCUACAAACGCAUUAACGAAGAAACAAAAUGAAACAGACAAAGGAUACUUCCGACAGCUGUUCUGUAUUGAGGAUCUAACGCUGCAUCAAUCUCAUCAAACAGAUAGAAUGGGGCAGGGUCACAUCGCUGGAUGGCGAAGAUCAGUGUCAAUGCAACUACAGUUUUCUGACCUCCGGACAAUUGUUUCAUGGAUUGGGUUUCUCCUUGCCCAGUAAAGGAGACCUAGCAAGAAAGCGAGAGAAUUUGAAGAAGUAAGAUUUCUGCAACAUCAUCUUCUCUGACUUUGUCAAGGAAAAAGGGGUAAAAACAACAUAGUUUUGAUUAACCAGAAGAGAAAGUUACACUAGUUCCUGACAAUUGUUCAUUUUCCCUUUGUAGAAAACAGGUAGAAAUCCUCACUAAUGUUCCUUUAUCAAACAUCAUGUAAAUUUCAGACUUUAUUGAGAAAUUGAUAUGUAUAAGAUAAAUGAUACAAACUAUUUUAGCUAGUUGAUAAAAAACUCCUUUAGUUAUAUAAGCUUUUGGGAUUAGUUAAAAAGAAUAUAAGGUCAGGAACAGCCCACAGUAGCACAUGAUCUGUUAUCUGUGACCGUCAUUCUAUAACUUGCAGAAGUGGAAAAUAAUAAGAAGCUUUUGAGUAUAACAAGAUAUGCAAACUCCACAAGAAAUACAUACCUUCACUUUAACUCCAAUGUAUUUUUCAACUCUUCCUUCAGGAUCUGGUUCACGAGGUCCAUCCUCAUCACGAUCAUCAUCACCAGCUUCGCCAUCCUUCACAAACAAAACGAAAUAAGUAAAAAUGGUUGCAAUACAAAAAAAAAAAGUAUGUCAAAGCACAUAUAACAAUAGAAAAAAAGGAACCUUUUUCUUCAUCAUAACCAAGUAGCCAUGGCCACCUUGCACGAGCUCAGCAAACACUUCUCGAAAAUGCCUUGCUACUCCCUUGAAUGUUCGUUCAAUUGAUUCAUCCUUCCGUUGAUCUAAAACUGAAAUAAGUUCCCUAAUUUUCUGCAAUAUCAUAAACAAUCUAAUUGUAACAUGACAGGAUGCAUAAGCUAACAGCAUGGAACAUUGAAAAUGAAAGGCAGUACUUGAUCGCCUGCAUCAAGUUCAGCUCGUCUUCUCUGUAGUUGUUCACGUUGCUCAGUGAAAUUCACGUAUUGGUCAAGAGCCUUCUUGUUAACAUGACUAAAUUGCUUUAGCUGUUCAUUGCACUCAUAGAGCAACUUCUGUAAUUGCUUUUUGCUUUUCCUCUUAUACCUGCAUUUUCUCUCUCAAUCGUAAGGAAAAAUAGUUGCAUUAUUGACGAAACAAUUAAUAAACCAGAAAUAAUGACUUACAAGUGUUAUCCUCGUUUUGGAUUUCAAGCGACAAAAGACAUACAGGAAAAAGAUACUAUUCAACUAUGAGAUUUUGUAUGAUUCUAUUUCUUCCGUUUGUAAAAUCAAAAUUACUUGCAAAUUACCCAUAUAGGAUCAUUUGAGGUCUGUUGAAUGAAGCGCCUUAACUGCUGAUUACUGUUUUAGUUCCUUUCCUAAUGGCUUUAUUUAGUUUAUAAUAUUUCUGUUUUCAAAAUGCAUUUGCUUAAGUGGAAUAUAACAUUUUUUGCUGAAUAUUUGAUAGACAAACUUUCAGCACUUACAAGGUCAAAAGUCUCUCUUUAAUAGCUAAGUGACUGUACAAAUAAUGCAGCAUAUAUUUGGCAGUCCAAAAAUGACAACACAGAAAGCAGGGGAUACGACAAAUCACCCAAGAAAAUUUAGACGCAUGAAAACAUCAGGAGUUGAAAGAAUUCCGAUAUUUUGCACCAUGAUAUAUUCUCAAUAGUAAAACACCAAGAAAAUGGUUAAACCUAGAGAUUCUAAAAUAUCAGCUAAAAAGUCCAAGAGCCAAGUUCAAUGUAUGAAAGAGCACCGGGCGAUUUGGGAGUACAAAUAUUGUUCGCAAAAUCCCUUAUCUCUCACAGUGGCUCAGCUGAAUUUGCUAAGAAAUUUGGGACUCGGGGGGGACUAAGGAAAUGAGUCCAAUUUCAGUCAGGAAUUUAUUUUCAGCGUAAUAAAGCAUAAGAAAGAUUACGUUUCAAAAGCAUCUGAAGGCAACGAGCCCAAAUCCCUGAUUUUCUUCAUGCACUCCUCUUGCUUAGUGAUAUGCAUACUCCUACUGUUCAUCAACUGAUCUAAGUCUCUUGCUCCAUCUUGAAGUAUUCGCUCAAGUUUUGCUUCAAGUGACUGCAUCAUAAAGAGAAUCAAUUAAAAACAAACAUAAAUAAGAAAGAGCAUGCCCAUUGAUGUCAUUUAUUACCUUUAGCUCUUCCUUUUGUUUUUUUAUUGCAUCUGUCUUUUUGGUUAGACUAUUUAUUGCUUCAACACCAGCUGUAGAAAUGACAAUAGCAGUAAGGAGAUGCACAUAAGAUAUAAACCAAGAAAGAGAGUGCAAGAUAUGCAUGUCAAAGGCCUACCUUUGAGCUGUUGGGUCAGCUCAUCAACAGUAGAUUUAGAAUUCUUAACCUCCUGCCUUUUUGAUUCAGCUUCAACUAUUACGGUCUUAGAAUCAGCUGAUAAGAUAAUUGCUUCCAGCUCUUGCUGUCGCCUCACAAGGUUAGUUGAAAGAUUGGUUUCUAGUUCCUCCUUCCUCGUCUCAAUCUAUGAAAUCUCAGAGAAUAAUUGCAGGAUGUCAGAGCAUUCUAGAUGACGAAAAGCAGUUCAAUAGAUUCAUUUCACUAACCUCAAUUCGAUUAGUUUUACAAGACAGAAGCAUCUCUUUCAAUUCUGUAAUUUCAGGAUUUAAUCUUGAAAGAAGAUUUCUUUCUUCAGGUGUUAACUGAUCAAUAAGCUCUGUUCCCAUUUCUGCUUGUUUCAAUGCGAUACCAGAUCGGAUUUGAUCAAUCUGGUUACGGACAUUUGCAAGUAACUUUCCCUGCAAUAAAUAAAUAGAAUGCGGUCACACUAUCAUGCAUAAAUAAACAUGCAGCAACUGCCAGAUAAAAGAUCAAUUGCCGACAUGAGGAAGAGGUCAUCAACUGAAAAAAAAAAAAAAAAAAAAAAAAAAAAAAAAAAAAAAAAACCCAGCACCUUUUUCUCCAGAGAUUUUGUAAUUGAUUGCCUCUGCUUAAAUGCACCGGCAAUGUCAGUUUUAAGUUGUUCCAAUUCUGACUUUUCAUGGUCACGGUCUGCAUCCAUCUGCUGUUGUCUGGUAACUAGUUUUGUUAUUUCCUGGUCUAUCUGUGUGGAAAGUUAAUGGCAAACUGAAAUCCUGAUACUUAUGAUAAACAGACAAGUCAAAAGCAACUAAAGCUUCAAAGUUUACAUAACUCUCGACAAAGCACCCCUAACCACAUUAUGCCAAGGAUAGAGUGAAACCAUGAAAUACUGAAAAACACUAAUCACCAAUUUUACUUGAUAGGGGUGCAGUCAAGAGAAGACCAGUUAAUAAGCCUAUACUCAGUUACAGAACAAACAAUAUAACUGACUCAAAAACUAUUAUUUGCAAAAAGAAACCAGUACUUAUGUAGCAAGCAUCUAGCAAUUAAAAAGGUAGGAUGAUAGCAAAUUAUUUGCACAAAAAUCAAAAGCUUUAUUACCAAUGUAGCUUAACCAAGGUAAUAUAGCUUAACCACCGUACAUUGUACAGGGCAGCAGCACAUUGUGUGAGCAAGCCAUGUGUCUGUUUGUGUAUCUCUUGUGUGCGCCCGCGCGCGCGCGCAUGUGUGUGUUCUUUUGUGUGUGUGUGUGCGCAUGCGUGUGUGUGUGCGCCUGUAGCAUUUCAGCUUCUUGAAAAGAAGAAAAUAUAGGUGACCAAAAGGAUUCAGGAUAAAGAGAAAGUAAUUUAAAAGGAUAUCUUUGAGUUUCUUCCCAAUUUCCUCUAAUUCCACUGUCUUUUUGUGGAUAGAAGUCUUAUUUUCCCUGACUAUCUUCACAAACUUCAGUUUUGAACGUCUAAAAUCGUAGAAUCCGCCUGUCAUACCACCUUUCCUGCUUACUUGAUCACCUGAUGUAUUGCUUAAACUGAAUAUCAGGUUAACAUGAAAAUAUGUGCAACACAUUGAUUGGCCAUGUAAAUUGAGACGAACCUUCCAACGUGAUGCAGUCAAGACUGUUAUUUCGGGCAACUUUGGUUGCCACAUCCAAGUCACGACAUAUCACCGUCCUGCCAAAUACCUAGUAUGGAUAUCAAAUAACUGAGAUCAAAUAAAGGUCCUUAAGAGUAAAGAAGAAAGUAUAUUUUAAGUACUAUGCAAUUUGACAUAACUGCCGAUGACUUUCAGGUAACUAUAAACCAUUCUCACAGAGAAAAAUAACUACUACAUCCAAGAACUACUCCAAGAAAAAGUAAGAAAGCAAGUUGAAGAAUAACAAGAUGACAAUGAGAAAACAUGAUCCCUUGUAACUAGUGCACCUAGUUUGAUAUGGGGCGGAGAGAGCAUUCAGAGAGGCUUCAACAAUUAUGUAUUGCACUCUAUUUUUUUCACAUUAUUAAUUGUAAGAUAGCAAUAAGAGGGAUCUGUUUGCUGAACCAAUACAUAUUUAUGUGAUUCAGAAUCAAACUUGUCUAAAACAUCUGCAUAUUUUCUUUAGUUCAAUUUAGACAUUGAAUUAUUUGCUAUGAGAUUUUACUUGUUCAUAAAGUGAUCGAGUUUUCAAUGAAGUGUUUAUCAUAACUCACUCUAACAAAUAGAACCAAAGUGGAAGUAAUAUUCCAUCAAACACUUUUAAGAGCCCUAGACCGUGAUAACAUCAGCCAAAUGUUCCAGUAUGGCGGUACCAUUUAUUAGGAAAUAAUAUUUUGAAACAACAGUUUUUAAGUUUUUAUAACCAAACUGAAAAACCCAAAAUCUUUACUUGGACAACUAUAGCAGUGCAGAUUGAAUAGUUCCACAGAACGAAUUAAGGUGAAGCAUAAUUUUUAAAUUGUCAUAAUUCAAGCCUUUUGUUACAGGCUCAAGCCUCAAGCUUGGCAACUUGACCUUGCACUCGAUCAAAUGAGGUGAAUUUAACUAUUCUGUAAAGGUCGACAAAUGGCAUAAGAGUAGCAUGCAAAGGCAGUUGUUAAACGACAAUGACACUCAAUGUAAAAUCUGUAACUGUAUCAUGACAACGUCAGUGUUAACCAUAAGAAAGUGAAACUUUGCCUAGGAAAUCUUAAUGAAGAGGUGAAUAUUUGCUACACAGUCGAAGUUCACAUUCCAAUAAUUGUACCAACGAUAAAUUGCUUGAUUAUAUAAGGAACAGUUGAAUGAAAGCGCCUCCAUUGACUAUUAGUAGAGAAAGUGAGAAACCCUUCAACACGUUUGUUUCAUAUUGCAUUCAACUUCAUCCAAUCAUAGCUUCUAAUUGCAAAAACAUCAAAGAUGUGAAACAUACCUGCAUAAAAGCAGGAGCAUAAUCAGAACGAUAUUUCAGCUUCUUUAGCAAAGGCACAACAUCAGGACUUUGUGGAUAGUUCAUCUCCGGACCUUUUACCCUGUUAAGUGGUAUAAAUGUCACCCUUCCACCUUUCUCUGCCGUUAGAUAUCUUAUUAUCUUAGUUGAUAUAUCGUCUGUUUCAACAACCACAUGGAACAAGCUGCAUAUAAGAGAAAAAAAGACUAGUAAGGUCAUGAAUAUGAAAGCUAAAUAAUGCCACAAUAUUUUCAGGAAUAUCAAACUUUCGUUAAAUAAUACGAUGUUCAAUUCAUCGGACCUAUUUCCAGCAGUGACUUCAACAGCAGUAAAAAACUUCUCCUCACACUCAACCAACUCCAAUACUGGACCAAAUACACCUUUAAUAUUAUGAUCCUUGAUGAUCCUAUUGACAGAAUUCAGCCCUCUUCUUGUGUCCUAGACAAGCAUGAAGAGCAAAGACAUUCACAAUGUUAUUAAAUAAGGUUUACAAAAGACUGAAAGUAUCUGCCUAUUAUCUACAUAAACUGCCAUAAUUAACUAACCAGGCAAAAAAGAAAAAAAAAAAAAGAACAAAGAAAGAACAAACUUGAGAGCAUACAAGAUAAUUACUUCAGAAUUUUUUAAUUGGACCUGAUUACACUCAGCUAAAAUGAUAAAAACAAUCCAAUAUAAGAAUUUGAAGAGAAAAUUUCAAUUGUUUCCGAGAAAGAACAUAUCAGUCAAAUUGACAGACUUCAAUAAAAAAACACACAGAGAUGAUUCUGUUUUAGUAAUUUCUGAAACAGCGAUCUCAAACCUUCAGAUUAAGAAGGGUUCUGCCAGAGGAAUGGUUUCCGAAUCAAACAAAGGAAAGUUCAGAAAAGGAAAGAGAUACUAUUAUGCCUUAUGCAAAAUUAACAGAAAAGCAACCUGCUGUUCAGAACGUCCAAGAUUUCAAUUUCAAAUAUUAAAGUCAGGUGAAAAAGAAAAGCUCGAGGCGCCAAUCAUUACCACAGGCAAUUCCAACACAAAAGUCCCAAUAACCCUGAGCUAGUCUUCAUAUUUGCAAUAUUUUCUUUUCAUAGUAAUAUGAAUCAAUAAAUUUAUCUAUGUUUCAUUGGUGACAACGUGAUAGCAAGUCAGCAGAUGGAGAUAUUUUAACCAAAUAGCCAAAGAACAAAUUUAGUUGAAACAUCCACACAAUUUUCACACACAAUUUUCACAUACAAUCAUAGGAUUGUUGUGCAAGUUGGCAUGGUCUAGCACGGCCGUUCGAUAAGCCCAUGCAACAUAUGUGUGCAGCACGUCAGCAUGCUGUGCCAUGCCGAUGGCACACCAGCAUGGCCCAUGCGCAAUUCUUGCUUACAAUCUUCAUUCUUUAAUUAAAUUAUAAUCAAGUAAAAACAUCAGAUCAUAACAGAAUUACUUACGCCUGGAGUGGCAUGGUCAAGGCUCUUCUGGGCUUUUAAAAGAUCUGAUUUUAGCCUGUCAAUGUCAGCUGAAAGUUCUGUUUCUUCCUUCCAUAAAGACCUGGAAUAUUAUCAUUUCCUAUAAGCAUGUAAACCAGAAAUGUUUUGUUUAAGGAGAGCUUUUCACUACAUUAAGAAAGGUUCAUACUUCCUGAUGUCUUGCAGUUCAUCCCUCUGUCUCCUCAAACUACUAUACUCUUCUUGGCCUUUUGUUAUGAAUGAUUCUAUCUCUGUUGCUUUACCUCUUCGAUCCUCUAUAUACUUUUCCAGCUUAUGUUCCUCAUCUUUGAGCUUCUGAAUUUCAUCCUGAAGUAACGCUUCCUGAAGAUAUACAGAUGCAGAACCACAGAUUAGGAAGCAGACAUGUCAAGAAAAAUACUGCAGUCAACAUGCAGGUCAAUUAAUAUGAAAACUCAUAGCAGAGGGGCUCUCAACAUCCCUAAAGCACACCGAUUCCCAUAAUUACACUUCUGCACAACCUUAAAAUGAGACUAUCAAGAUGACUUAAAUUCUCUUCCUGCGAAAGCUAGCCUAGAGAUGUGCAAGGAUACUUAGCUGUUCCUCGCAUGGAAAAUUGAAGUUAAUCUGUUCGAUUUUUAAUAAGUUUACUUUAGAGAGAUGAAAAAGAUCCUCUAUAUUAACAAUAUGCAAUCUUCCCUUAGCUCUUCAAACAACCAGGAAAAGACCUGCUGUGGUAUAAUUUUACUUUCCUGAAUAGCUAGGAAACAUUUCUACACAAUUAUUACAAAUUAGUCAAUUAUAAAAAUUGAGGAAUUCUUUAAUUGAACCUUGCUGACCAAGUUUUGAUCUAGUUCAUCCCACAUUGCCAGAAAAAAGUAAUCAUAAUAGUGAUCGUUUGGAAUAUAUAACAGCAAAUAAGCCAUCUCUUAACUACGAUUACGAAGCAAGUUAACAGUGAAAUGAGGAACCUCUUAUUCCAUUUACAAUGGAGGAAAGCCAUUUAUACUACAGUUCUGUCCAAAAAGAAAAUUAAAAGCUAGUUGAGAUGACAAGUCGAGCACUGAGCAAGAUGCACUCAGAGAAUCAGCAUGAUUUUUUUUAGUCACCUGCUUCAUGUUUGAUGAAAGUACACGUUCAAGAUCAUCAAUUUCCUUUUGCAACCACUUAUCGCGAGCAGCUUUGCUCGCAAACUGGGUAGCCCGCCCUUGUUUCUGGUACAGAAUGCUCAGCUGCUUCUCACGAUCCAUUAUGCUACCACAAGAAAUUAAGCACCAUCAAAUCAAGGCCCCCUGAUAUAACAACAAAGAAACAGCAAGAAUAAUUGGAUACCUCUUAGCUAUUUCCUCCUCUUUAGCCACUUUUGCCUGGUGCACUGGCCGGAUUGAAUUAAGUUCAUCCCUGGAUUCUUGAAUCUCUCUCCUCAAGCUCUCCAACUGCUUUGCAGCUUCAUCCUGCUAGCCAGUUCCGUGAAUAAAUGAAAAAAGCAAAUUCACAUCAAAUAAGUUAAAACCAAUCAAACAAACCUUUGCUCGGACUUCCCCUGAAAUUCUUUCUUCUACAUCUCUCAAGUCCAGCUCAACCUGUGCAUGCACUUUUAAUGCCUCAGUUCGUUUCUUCUCGAUCCCCUCUUUCUUUUCUCUUAAAUCAUGCAUGCCUUUCGCUGAGCCUUUGAUUUCCUUCUCCAACGAUUUAAUCUUUUCACGAACAUCCACCACUUCAUUGUCGGCACUAGACAUCUUCUCAGAAAUUUUUUUCCUGUUCUCAUCUAUCUACAGCCAAGAAAUAAGUCAUCAAAUAUUAAUAAAUAUAUAGAAAAUUACAAGGCUGCUGUUGAUACAUAAAUUGUCCUCAUUUAAUCUCUUCUACAACUAACUUCAUUGAUAAUAAGACCAUCACAAAAUGAAACCAAUCACAUUUAGUUACAUGUUUCAUAAAUUGGUAGGAUCAGGAUUUGUGCUGCCAUAUCAAUGAUGUCAAGUAAGGAAGUUUGACCUGGUCUUUUCAAACCAACUAGACCCAUGGCCACCCCUCUUAGUCAACUACAUCCCUGGCUGCCCUAUUUGUCAAAAGGGAAGGGCGCUGUCUGCUGUCAAGCACUCUAUUACAGGAAUACCUAUGAACAGUGAUACAGCAUAUAUACCUACUCCAUGGACCUAGAAAAUGUGUACUGGAAGGUAUCUCAACUAGCCAAACAUGAAAGUGCAAAGGGAAAAAGGGAACAGCUACAUAAUAGCAAUAUGAUAGUGAGCAGAUUAAACUUUGCUAUAUAACUACUGCUAACCUCUGCCAAAUCCUUCCUAGCAUCAUUUAAUUCAUGGUCCAAAAUGGUAUACUCCAGAGACCUUCGCUGCUUGUCCAGCUGCUGAUACUUCCUCAGUUCUUCUUUCUCUUCGUCCAGUUCCCUUAAUCGCUCUUCCAAGUACUGAACAACUUGAUCUAUCUGCUUUCUCUUAUUACCUGCAAUAAAUGUUGUUUCAUGAUUGCCCAACCAUUACUGUGCGUGUGUAGAGCAUGUAGGGUGUUUUGAAUUUAUAAUGACAACUUGCCAGUUUCUUGCAUUAUUUUCAAGCUCUCACGCCGUCUUUCUUCAUAAACACGGGUCCCACCAAUCUCCUUAAGAAGAUCUAGACGCUCAGAGUCCUUCAUUAAGGUAAGGGAUGCUAUCUACAUAUGAUGACAAGCCAAACUCAUAAGAACCGAAGGUCUACUUGAGUAGCAAGGCAAAGAAAAUUGAAAAUUAACCAGCAAUAAAGCCAUUAACCUUCCCCUGCUGGACGACAUAGUAUGGAUUCGAGCGAGAGAAACCAGCACUUUCCAGCAAAUUCAUAACUUCAGUUUUGCUGAACAAGUUGACCAUUAAUCAAAAUUGGGUCAAGAACAGGAAAUUAUAUUACUACAUGGUUCUAGGGGAAAAGAACACUUUACGUGACAUGCUUUCCAUCCAAGAAAUACUCAUCCUUUUUCAAUGCAAUUGUACGGCGCAAGCGCACCUCCUCCUUAUCAACCUAUAUUAAGCAUGAGUUAAUACAAUAAGAACCUUAGCAGCCUAUAACCAGGCAAAAUAUAGAUCCACUAAAAUGACACAUAAGAUUAAUCAAUGUAGAAUAUCAUGUUUGUAACACGAAUUUAGAUUUAGAAUGAAUAUAUUACCAAUUAUCACAAUUUUCUGGUAGAUUUAAAAUUGUUGCCAUUUUAAGUAAUUCAUUGAUUAGACCAUCCAUUAACGGAAUCAAAUGUGCGUCAAGACAAAAUUCAUUACCGAAUAGUGUUAGAGAUGCCCUUGUUAUAGUUCAUUUGAUUAAUCAUGAGAGAUAUAAUUUUCACAAUCACAAUAAAAUCACCUACUAGUUUUGAAGACUUUCACAGACUAGCUAUAAUCAAAUUUGAGAGACAGAUUCUAUAUUUACUAGAUGAUAAUAUCUAAGCCAACAAAGUAAGCAGCCAAGAAAAGAGAAAUAGCUGAACUCGUAUCAACUGCAGAGCCCUGGUUAUGAAUAAUCAGUUCUAACUCGACCAGUAGAAGACUUACUGGAAUGCGAUUGUCCGAAUUGUCGAACACUAUCUCAACAAAAGCAGACACAACUUGAUGUCCGGCACCUUCCUGGUCAUUGUUUUCAAACAAAGGAAUAAUCAGAGUGAAAAAAUUACAAGGAUUCUUCAGCAAAGGAACCAAUCAGAAAAAUAGUAACAUACAUGGAGAAGGGCAUGCCUAUCUUCGCUGCGCAAAUUUUGAAAUAGAUCGCUGAGGACAAAUCUUAUAGCUGCAAAAGACAAAGUAUCAGAAAAAGAAGACAAGUGAUCAAGAAAGUGUACGAAUUCUUACCAAAUAAGCCUUAGAAAUUCAUAAGUCAAAAAAAAAUAAAUCUUUCUUUCAUUUUCUUUCUUGGUUGGAAAGUGAAAUUUGUAAACUUAAACUUACCAUGGAAAAAGUUCGUUUUUCCGGAUCCAUUGGCGCCAACUGUCAAAAGUUACAGAAGAUUGCUUAAUGCAAAUAGUCCAACAUUUAAUUAACACUCCGUAUGAAACAUCCAAAAAAUUACUUUUUCUACAUUUCCACCCUAAGCUUAGAAAAUUAAAAAGCUACCUUUUGCCUAUCUAUUUUUAAGUAUAUUCAGUUUUAGCAAUGACACUAGAACAGCUCGUUUAGUAGCAAAAUGUAGAGUUUGACCAAGAAAAUAUAACAUAGAUUUAUAUCCAUAAGUGCUCUUUACGGGAUGGGUGUGAUAUUUGCUAAAAGCAGUACUUGGCAUCAGAGUGCUUAAUGGCAAGGGCUAAAGGCACUUUCUAUAACUAUAUUUCAAUGUUCAUUCAUCAUAAAUUGCACAAAUGUAUGUAAUGAGGUGAUUCUUUUCAUUUCUCCAGAAAUCAUUUGUAUAUAAUAACUAGGAAAUGCUUAUUGAGUUUCGCAAAUAAUCAUUUUCAAAUUUAAAAAAUUCUACAACGUUGUACUGUUCCACCAGAUGCAUCUGUUCUUUGUAAUAAGAGUGCAAGAACUCAAAAAACAUGCACAUCCAAAGCAUUCAAUCAUUUAAAUGCUCCUAUUUUUCUGAAGAACGAUAGCAAACAUGCUUAACAUGCUCUUCUAGAACCAAGAAAGUACUAGUACAAUCAAGAGAUCAUGUAUUAAUGCAUAAAGCAAGGAAAAUCUUGAACAGCGGUAAGAUAAAGGAUAAUCAGAAAGAAAAUUACCAACGCAAUUUACUUUGGGGCUGAAGGGGUCUGUAGAAACUUCUUCUUUGUAGCUCUUAAACCCUUCAAUUAUAACCUGCUCAAGAACAAAUUCAGCAAAAACAGCAAAAGAGAAAAAGAAUCCGGGAGAAAUCCUAACAUGUAAAGGAUAAAUCACCUUCUUUAUAUACAUCGUUGAAACAGUUAUAAAACACCAUCCAAGACCUUCAAAAAGCAAGAAAAGAAACAGAGUCAACACCACGACCCUGAAAUCUCACAAUCGACAGCACAAAUCAAACCGUAGCUAGUAGCAACCAAUGGUGAACCAAUUUCCCCGAGGAGAUCAAGAGGCAAAUACGAGAGUUAGGGUUUCCCCGCGUCGCUAGUAAGGAGGGAAUUAGGGUAAGGGUGAGAAUUAAAACCCUAGAUUAGGGAGAGAUUGGUGGAGGAGGAGAUGGAGAAAACUAACCCUAGCGAUCGAUGCGUAGAGGUGAGCGCGACGACCUUCGUGGAGAGAGAGAGAGGAGAGAGAAAGAGAGAGAAAGAGGAGGGGAGAGGGCGAAACGAGGAGAUGACUAAAAAAACGAAGAGCGGGAAAGGGUAAAGAGAGGGAGCGCGAGGAGGAGAGAGAAAAAGAGAGAGAGAGAGAGAGAGAGAGAGAGAGGGGGUUAAAGCGUGCGGAGGAAGACGUUGGGGGUGUAGAGAGAGAGAGAGAGAGGGAGACAGUGGAGUGAACUCAGCUGCUCCAUACGGACACGUGUGGGCUAGAAUCCACCGUCCAACUGAGGAAUACAGUUGAUCUCUGCCGUCCACAAGUGGAGUGGCAUUGAUGGACGUUGGAUCACAUCCCUUCCAACUGUGUUAUAUUUGCACCACAUCUCCAAUAACAAAUCAACUGCAUCUCUUAUUUUUAAAAAAUAGCACAAUAAUAAAAGUAUAUUUUAUAUAUAAUCAUAAUGGGUGGAUAAAUUCAAAUUUAAUUAAUUGGGAAUAGUUAAAAACAUCACAUCAUUAAUAAUAAGUUAAUUAUACUUAAUAAAAUAAUAUAAUAAAAAUAUAUUUUAUAAUCAUAAUAGAAUAGAUAAAUUUAUUUAAAUUUAAUUACUCGACACAGAUAUAACUGAUAGAUUCUAGAAUUUUUUUCUUGGCAACACGCCAGGAUCCGGAAUUUGCCGGACAGAAAUAGGGAUGCAAACGGGGCGGAUCCGGGGGAGGGAGAGUUCCCCCACCUCCCGCUCCAUUUCUUAUCGGGGCGGGGUGGAUUCGGGGCGGGUUACUUUUCAUUUUAUUUUUGGCUCCCACUUAUCGCUCCAUUCGGGGCAGAUCGGGGCGGGAGUCGGAUUUUUGACGGAUCGGGACAGAUUGAAGGAAGAAAAGAAUCUCCCACCUCCCGCUCCAUUUACUUGGCGGAUCGGGGCGGAUUCGGGACAGAUUAUAUUUUUUUAUAUUUUUUGUUCCCACUUACCACCCAUUCGGGGCGGAUCGGAGCGGAGCUCCGCCAACCCGGAUCCAUUUGCAUUCCUAGACAGGAUCAUGGAGCCCCCGUUUCGUGGGGACCUGCGCAGCCCACAGGCAUGAGUUUAUCUCACGAGACUUCAAGCCAGAGGAGCUUCGAAAUCGAGCUCAGCCGUACGGCCAGAACUCCCCGGCUUUGACGCGGCGUAGUUUUGAAUUACCAAACACCCCAAGAUUAGGCUUCAUAUGAUUUAACAUAUUUUGUUUUUACAAUUUGCUAAUUUGAAAAUUUUUAUCUUAUUACUCAGUUAUUUUAUCUUUGUUUUAUUAUGUAAAUUUGCCAUUGAAUAAAAUAGCAAAAUAAUACAUCCUACAAUCCACGUAAUGACUAAAUAGUACGACGAUACAUUCUACAAACCACAUAAUAACUAAAUUUAUAGACUAGUAAAGUACUAGAUUUUCUUAUGAUUUGCAAAAUAUAUCAUUAUGAAUAUUUUAUAAUACUCUGCUCAAUGACCACUCCGUGAUGGAAAAAAAUAAUAAUAAUUUAAAAAAAGGCACAAUAAGUGAAGCUUCCUAAAACGCCGCGAAAGGGAGGAACCAAAGCAGCGGAAAUAUAGAAAAACAGAUUUACACGCACAUACUAAAUAACGGAAAAAUUCCAAUGCACAUUUGCUAAUACCUAAUAAAUAACGUAAAUAAAUACUAAUAUUUGUUUAUUCAGAUUAAAAAAUUUUACAAGCUUAGUAUGGCAUAACAACAACUAUGAGAGCAAGAUCCUCUGGGCAUGAAACCUACUUGGUCGAGACACCGUUUGUAAAUGCCAACUGACAUACCAAGGCAAUGUGAUCACUUCCCCAUUUCUGCAACACGUAAAAAUUUCUUUUUCAAAGAAAUGCAGUCAACGUAGAUAAGGAGCUAAUUCUACCACAAAGCAUAAAAGAAAUAAAGCUGUAUUAAAAAUCAUUAAUCGGUGGGUAGUUCAUGAUGACUAUACUUGAAACUUUUUUGCUUCACAAGCCAUGCACGCAUUGAACGGUCUAUGGCCGUUACCUUGGUAGGGAAACCGCUCGUUUGCUGCAAAAUAUGUGUGGGGAUUGUGUCGAGUACUUUAACGGUUUGCAGAUCUUCCGUACACCUUGAAUUCAUUAAACGUAAUUAGCAAAAGAUACUGACCACAGUUAAGAAUAGAAUAAAGAUACAGCAAUGGAAGCCGAAGCCAAUGUUUCAGUUGAGAGAAGGGAGUAGGAAAAUAUGAUAAUUUGAUGUUCGUUGCUACAGGCAUAAAUAGAACUUGUAGACGCAGCUUCAUUUCCAAAAAACCAACGGCGCAGCUAAGGGCGUUGAUGAUUUAGAUCCAAAAAUUUUCUGUUGCUAGUAAGAUUGAGCAAAACAUAACUUACCAUAUAUAAUCGACGGUGCCCAUGAAUUGUGUGUUAUAGCUAGUGACUUGGGGUUCUCUACUGGAAUCUUUUGUCCCAGCAUAAUCCUGCCAAGAUGAGAAAUGGUAAGUCCAAAAAAUUGUCUUAAUCAUAUCUGAGUUCCAGUUCCACAUUACCAUGCUCCAAAUAAAACCUGCACCAUGUUUGCUUUGCCAAGUAGCAGCAACAUCUUAUUCACAUCGUAAUUUAGGUAUUUGUCACUCAUGUGCUUGCGUGCGAUCAUGUGCAUGUGCUUAUCCUUAAGUUGCUACUUUUAAGCUCUAUGUACUUUUAAGCUUUAUGUAACCUUUUAAAGGUGAAACUUUGUGCUUGUAUAGUGUAAUAUAGUAGCAAAUAAAUGGCAUUUUUUUUACAUCUUAUUGUAAAAAAUUAAUGAGAUGCAAAAUAUAAAACUCAAUUGCAAUUGAACAAUCAGACCAACUUUCACAAUCUAAAUGACAAUAAACUGGGCAUGUUAAUAAAAAAAGAAUAUUAAAAAGAAAGUAAAAUGCGAAAGCGGGUCAGAAAUUCAACAUGCUAAAAUCAUGCAGUCCGCAGCAAAUUCAUAACCAACUGCUCUCUUCAAAAGUAAAACAGUAACAUCAUGUACCUCAACAUCUGUAUAUGUGCUCCGUAACUUCAACCUGUGUUUGAUCGAGGUACAUUCUUCAUUUCCAGAUGCAGCUUUAAUUUCCAUUGGGGUCCAGAAGUAAGGGUUAUAAAUAUGCCUCUCUCGAUCAGCGCCAGAGGGGCAUGUAUCAUGUAAGGUAUCUCCCUGAAUCUCAACAAAUGAUGAAUCAUGUAAGGUAUCUUCCUCAGAUCCAAGAAGCUCUUUAAAAAAGUUUGGAUCAGAAUUCUCAUCUGAACCAGAUAUAUUGUUACUUCCAGAAGGUUCACAGGUUUCGUCAUAAUCCAAUUGUUUAGGAUCAUUCAGAACAGCAUUAUCUUGAACAGUCUUCAAAUCGUCCAACAAUGAGAAAGUGCCAUGGCAUCCAGAGGAGCUUGGAUCCUCUAUUUUAGUCUUGUUCUCGUCCCCAACAGAUAGAUCGGAAAACUUCAUCAGUAAAUCACCAGAAUCAGAUAACUCUAAUUUGUUAUCUUCGCAAAUUAUUCGUUGUAACAUAAUGGGUUCUUCCUUUAUGGGUACUUCCUUUUCCUUCUCAACAGCUAAAUUGCUUGAUGUCUUCUCUAUGAUAUCUUGAGGAUAUAACUGACCAUCAGUAGGGUUGUUUGGUACCGUGUUGAAUGAAGAACUGACAUUGCUGCUUUGGGAAGCUGAAGUCCAAGAGGGAGUGGCAAGUUCGUUUGGUAUUUCACUACCAGUUGAAAGUUCGUUUGGUAUUUCACUACCAGUUGAGUCUUUCUUUGCACCUCUUAAAGUUGUAGUGCUAUCUACAGCUUCCAAUGGAUAAAUGAAUUGGUGGUAUUCACCGUUCUUUGGAGAAAAACACAAAUCAGAAUUAGUUUUAUCGGGUUCCAUAGUUGGAAUAGAUGAAAUGGCUUUUUCUUCAAGCUCGCUGUUGGAUGAAACUUCAAAGUAAUGUUCAUCCGAAUUAGACUCCGUAGGUUGACCAUUUGAUAACUCAGCUUCAUCUUUUUGAAAGGGAUCGGUCAUUUCUGUCAAACUUGCAUUUUCCAUCUCAACUUGAGGUUUUAAAUUAUUGCAAUUGUCGGUACCUCCCCCAGCACUUAUUUCUUUGUCAUUGGAAUUAUCAGUUGGCGGACGAGAGCUGCAACAUCAAUAUCAAAAUUCACACACACACACACACACACACACACACUACAUACAUACAUACAUACAUAUAUAUAUAUAACGCUCUUUUUGCUAUCAAGUUUUUAACCCUUGGAUGAAAAAUUGUAGGGUCAGGAUGAUAUUAGUCGGUUAGAGUUAAGUGGUCCCCCUAGGAUUGAGUGGUCCCCACUGGGUUAUAGUAUUUAAUCCAAUGGUUAGAAAUAAUGAAAAGAGUUGAUCCAAAGGCUAAAAAACUGGUAGCAACAAUAGGAUUUUGCUACUAAUAGUAGCCCAGUCCAACUAUAUAUAUAUAUAUAUAUAUAGAAUUAUGCUACUAUACUAUCAAUAGUACCCAGCCCUUGGUACUAUUGAGUUUUCGGCCGUUGGAUGAAAGGAUGUACGUUUAGGAUGAUAGUGGUCCCGGGUUAAAUUGAUAGUUGUCCCCUAGGGUUGAGUGGGUAGUUGGUUUAAUAGUAUAAUCUAACGGGUGGAAAUGAUCAAAGAGCAGAUCUAAUGGUAGAAAACUCAAUAGUAUCAAGGGCUUGCUACUAUCGAUAGUAUAGUAGCCGGACUAUAUAUAUAUAUAUAUAUGUAUAUGUAUAUACAUAUAUAUAUAUAUAUAUGUAUGUAGAACUAGGCUGGAAUACUAUCAAUAGUACCAAACUGUUGGUGCUAUUACUUUUUUAGCCCUUGAAUUGAGAAAUAUGCGGUUAGGAUGAUGUGGGCCCCCUAGGGUUGAGUGGGUGGUUGAUUGAAUAGUAUAAUCUAUAGGGUAAAAAUAAUCAAAGGGUUAAAUCUAACAGUGGACAACUCAAUAGCACCAAGGAUAUAUAGAUAUAGAUAUAUGUAUAUAUGUACAUAUAUAUAUAUAUAUAUAUAUAUAUAUAUAUAUAUAGAGUGCGUCUGGGGUGCUUUCGGAAGCACGGAGCGCUCCGUGCUUCCACUUUGUUUUCGAUGUUGGGACUUUCAAAUCGACGAUCGGCUCCGUUAGACUUGAUCUAGAGUAUUUGAAGUAUCUAGAAAAUAAAUUUUGCGAUUUUUCGAUAUCAUUUGCCGAGUGAUCGAAGUGGCUCAAAAUCAACGGCUGAAAAUAAAAAUCUCACAAAAUAUGAUGAUAUGACAUUAAAAUUUUAGAUCAAAGUUAUUGAUCUUGUUUUAUAUGGUAUAAAGAAUUUUCUAUCAAAAUUUCACGUGAUUUGGAUAUUUCUACACCGUUAAACUUGCAACCGGCUCACCACGGCCGUUAAAAUUAUUGAUUUUGAGCCCCUUCGAUCACUAGGCAAAUGAUAUCGAAAAAUCGCAAAAUUUAAUUUCUUGGUACUUUAAAUACUCUAGAUCAACUCUAACGGAGCCGAUCGUCGAUUCGAAAGUCCGAACAUCGAAAACAAAGUGGAAGCACGGAGGCCUCCGUGCUUACGAAAGCAUACCAGCCCACUCUAUAUAUAUAUAUAUAUGUACAUAUAUGUACAUAUAUGUACAUAUAUAUAUAUAUAUAUAUAUAUAUAUAUAGAUAUAGAUAUAUGUAUAUGUACAUGUAUCAUAAAGAACAGAACUUACUUGGACAAAUUAGAGCUAGGAUAUAUUCUUCGUUGACUAAUAUAAGAAGAAUGUUGUCCAGAUAUAUCAUUGCGAGCAAGUCCAGCCAAGUUUAACUACAUAGUUGGAAUAUCUCAGGAAAAAAGAUCAACUAUAAGCCCCCUGAAAACUUGCAACUUCUUAAGAUGUAAUACAGCAAAAAAAAAUGCAAUACCUUUUGCUCUGAUAUGAAAUUGUACAGCGGGCUCUGAAUGGAGAAGGAACAUGUCAAAUAAAGGGUAAAGGGUCUCUAUAAGUAAAUGUGUAAAGAUAUAUAUAGAAUACAAACAUUUAUUUAGUCCAUGUACAAACAAACAGAGAAAGUGAAGAAACACUACUGACUAAAGUAAGGGAACAAAAAACUGACCUUAGGUGUACAGUUGAAAUCACCACAAAUAAUAACUGGAGCAUCAUUCCACAUCUUAGAAACUGUAUAAGCUCGCUCAAAGAGAGUCCUUACCUGUAAAAGACUGAAAUUAGCAACAUUAUAUGCAGCUGGUAUACUUGCUAAAAUACUAUGACAUAGAGAUUCUGGCAGCAAGAUACAGGGAAGGCAACAUCACAACUGUUGCUAGGAGAGCAUCAAACAAAACAUCGAAGUAACACAAUCCCUACAAUUGAAAAGAACACUAAUUGAUGGUCUAACCAAAUACAAGGUAAUGUAAAAUUAAUGCUGACUAGUAGAGAAAGUAUGAAUUCAUGGUAUGAAGACAAGAUUCGAAUUCAAGCCAUAGAUCUUCAUUUCAACACUUUCGGGUCAUUUCAAUUGUUUUGGCAUAAGUCUGAGACUGAGUAGGCUAGAAAAAGAGAAAAGAUAUAAAAAUAUUUUAGCAAAUAAUUUACAAAUGAAAUAACUCUAUGCUGUUUGGAUAUGCUCUUAUGAUGCGUCACCAAAUUGCUUAAAAAUAAAGAAAAAUUCAUAUAGGUCAAGAGACCAACAUUUUAUACGAACAAAAAAUGUUUGGCCUGGGAAGUACGCAUACCUGACCAAGUUUGAUUUCUCCCCUCUUCGGAUUGUAAAGAACAUGAAUGUUACAUAUAACAAGGUGGUUAGCUUGUCUUGAUUGAUCAGAGCUGGGGAGUUAAAAAAAAAACUGUAUGUAAGCAUCCAUAUAAUUGUCCAAUUUAUGAUGAUGUGCCAAAGAAAUAACAGAUAGCAAUCAUAAAAAUACAAUAUAGUGAGUCGCAUCUGAGAAAUGCAAAAAAGAAAUUAUGCCAAAAAAUGACUCCUGUGCGACUAACAUUGAAAAUUAAAUUUUAAUACAAAAAGCAUAGGAGUAAAAAUGCUCAUGCAUGAUUCAGAAAUGCAGCAUAGCUAGCUGCUAAGUUCUAUAAAAUCAGAAUUACUAUUUUUACUGAUAAUAGGUUCUAAUAACAGAAAGCACAUACUGGGUCUAGACAAAGGAAAGAAUGUUCAAGAAGAAAUCUCAAGUACCUCUCAAGAAUAGAUUCAGACUUGCUUCCAACAAGGCCUUUAUUCACUGACUGGCAAAGAAAAAGAUGGUCGUUAUACAGAUAUAAGAAUUAAAAAAAUAUUACAUUAACCAUGGAUAAACCAUACCUCCAACAGAAAACAAAUUAUAAGUGGUAUAUCAAAUAAAUUAAUUGGGCAAAUGGAUCAUCCAUACCUCCAAAACACAAAUCUGAGCAACAUUAUCUCGAAGUCCAAGUUCACUAAAUUCAAUUUGCCCUUCAUACCGCAAUUGGAACCUGAUGUAAUAACAAAGAGUCAAAACUAAAAUUUAAUAUAGCCCAAAAUUAGAGCUCAACGUACCAAAAGUCAUGUUUAAGAUGUUGACCAGUUACAAUGUCACAAUGUUCAAGGUUGGUAUAUCUUGGAAACACAAAUUCAAGCAACAUGAAUAAGAAAAGAAAUUUAAAAAUUCUAAGGGUUGACACAUUACCCGACCUGAUUUCACUCUAUACUUUUUUCUAACUGUUCCCCAUUUUCUUACUCUUUCAAAACAAAAUGCCCAACCAGUUUUCUGAAAUUGGAGUAUCCUAUUUUACCUUUGUGCUUCUUUAAAGAAUUCUUGGUUGAACAGUCACUAAAAAAUCAAACUUAAGAGGGGCUGAAACAUUAGAUAGUCUACUGAUCACUUGUCAACAAAAUAGGCCACAAAUAAUUGAUACCUGUGAGUUCAUGGUUUACGUAUAAAUGCAUAUUUCUUUGAAAACCUUAAUUUACUAAGAGAAAUGAUUGUUUACAUGCUUUUGCCACUUUGUUGGAAAUUUAUUGCCUUGUAAAAUGAUAUACCACUUACAGUAAUUUUGGGGAAUUAAUAGUUGACUUCCUUAAUAUUGUAUAACUAGUCCAUUUAAAAAAGAAAAUUCAAGUGCCCAUACUCCAUAUUUCCCUGCUAAAUUAUUGUACUUUCAAUGAAAAAUUUACUCAAAACUACUGAAACAAAUCCGCAUUAGAACAUUGACAGCAUGGAGAAAGAACUCCAUUUAUUUUAUCAAAAACUGUUAUAUUGGUUAUGGACAAGUGCCAUCACGAGAUACAUAACUCAACCUCAAAUAUUUCAAAACAUUACACUGACGUGCCUACCUAUUUGUUCGCCAAAAGACAGCACAUCCAUCAACAGCAUUUCCUGUGCGCAUCUGCAUAAUCAAUUUAACCACAUUACAAGCAGAAGCAGAGGUAGUAGAGUAUUUUGGUUUGUCAUAGUGGAGUGUUCCUGGCAGAUAUGUGAUUUCUGAUAGUGUAGCACUAGAAUAUAAACUCUACACAGGAACUAAUAAGGAAAGAAAAAUAUGGCAUGCAAAAUCUGUCCUCAGUUAUGGAAAAUCUUCUCAUGUACAAGUGCUGUCCACUACAUACUGAUAUAUAAAUUACUUAAAUACCUGAAAGUAACAAAAUAUAUGGAAAAAAAAAGAGCAAACGAAUCCCAAAAUUACCUUCCAUAAACCAUUAUAUCCUCGGAUAGCCAAUUCUUCUUGUAGAUCAUGAAAUUUGUCGACCUCCUAAAAGUGGAACUGCAAAGGAAUUAUUACUGUAUAAAAGAACAAUGGGUACUCAUAGAGGAAAGUAGCACAGGGAGUCGAAGAUCAAGCCAACUAGCAUCUGUUGGUAAAGAAAUCAACAUUAUAUCAAGCUAGGCAACAAAUGUAGAUAAUUAACGAAAACCAAUAUGAAUAAAUGAAAAGUCUAUUCUAAUUUCAUAAAAAAUAAAGGGAGAUACUCGAAAUAAUAUGGCCAUAGAAGAAUAGGAUAAAAAAUAUAAACUCUCAGGGCGAAUAAACGAAAGGAAAAUUUUCCCUUUAUUUGUCCAUUUUUACAGGGAGAGCUUGCCUGAGCUGCCUCAAUUUCCUUUUAAGUAUUAACUUGAGUCACCACUUUUCUCUCAAAAAGCUUGAGUCGCCACUUUUCUCUCAAAAAACUUGAGUCGCCACUUUUCUCUCAAAAAACUUGAGUCGCCACUUCAUAUUAUGCCUUCCACUUGCUUCCAAAAACAUUGCUCAAAUUCCUUCAUUAUAAUAGCAGAUCUACUACCACAUAAACUUGGUCCUUGUUAUACAGAUUUUCCCUUGUUCUAAUCACCUUAUCAAAAUUAUCAACCAACCAAAAAUAACUUCAUAAGACCAACCAAAAAUAACUUCAUAAGACAGCAUUUCGGAAGUUAAUAAAAAUUAAGUCACAUUCCUCAAAUCAAAACUUAGAUACACGCAAUCCUCCAGACAAAGUAAAUAGGUUUUCCUACCACACAGUAUGAGAUAGUCUGCAUUAUCAGACAGUUAGAGGUUUGCAUACAAAUCAACCAACAUGACUUGCUACUGCAAAUUGUGUAGCUAAAAUUUCCUAACAAAGGAACACCAUUGGAUAUUUGGAUUAGCUGUGUGCUUACAAGACAGAGAAAUAGCAACAUAUGCAAGAUAACUGCUCCCACUUAUAGACAGAAUGAAGUGGAAGGAUUUAAAACAUCUUAGGAAUACGUCAUCAUGAUUGUACAAAGGUUACCUGAAGACAGAUUAUGUCAGGAGCCCACAAUCCAAACUCGAACAGUAUCCUUUUCUUUCGCCACUCCCAAUCCAAAAUAAAACCAGGUAUAUGAAAGUAAAGUUUGGACUGAUGGUCUCUAGCUAGGUAGUCAGCAAGAAUGUUGUAGGACAGUACUACAAACCGCUCUGAGAAAUUGCAAAAGUUAAAAAGUAAAAGAACUAGCUAUGGUAAAUCAAAACCAAAAUGAUAGCAUAACUUAUGAAAGAAAUGUAGAAUUUAUUAUCAAAGCAUGGGAUUUUUCAGUCCAGAUACAAAAGUGAUUUGGUACACAAGAUGAUUCCAAAUAUGAAGCUCAAGGAAUGAAAAAAAGGUACUACUAUGCUUCUUGUUGAAGAUCAACUCUGAAGAAGAUCUGAAGAUUAAAAAAUACAAUAUCAGUUAAGAUACUAUCUAAAUAGCUUUUCUCCUUAAGCCCUUCCCUGGGUAUUGACCCUCUAUCAUUUACACACCAAGUGACACACUAUGCAUCAUAAUUUCACCGCAUUUGCAUUACAGAUCAGAUGGAAAAGUAUAGGUAUUUUCAAUUUGCACAUACCCCAAAACAAAAAAAAAAGAAAAGAAAAGAAUACAUUUGAAAAUUGGAACUCAAAAAUUAUCUUUCUGAUUUGUAAUUGUUUUCCGAAAUGUAAAUCCAAAAACUAUGAAAUACCAUUUCUUCCUAAAUUUCUCAACAUAUGCAUAAUAAUCAAAUAGUGAUGACUAUGUUAGACAUUUAAAACUUGUGAUUAUCUGCUGGGUCGAUAAUAUACAUGGAGUUGCAGAAAGAUCACUCUAAUUGCUAACCGGUACGCCAUUAAUAGUGACUAAUUAGUGAUGACAUGCAGUACAUGUACACAAAGACUGAAACAUAAUGAAGUGAUUUAAACAUAUUUUCAGCUUCUCAUUAGAAACUAAAAGAAGAGAAAGGAAAGAAGCAAAAUACUCCACACUCUUCAAAAUCCAGUAGCAUUACCAGAUUGAGGUGGCGGCUGCAAAGGAGCGAAUCUCCACUCGCGGCGAUAAUCUGCAAGCCUAGGCUGCGGCAUCUGGGGCCUGCCCACCUGAGGUGGACCGUACAACGGUGGAGGAUGACUAAUGCUCGGCGGAAAGGCUCCAUAACCAGGCGGAAAAGAGCCGUAGGGUAGCGGCGGAGGACCAAAUCCAGGAGGAGGAUGAGGAGGCGGAGGGCCUAGUCCCAUUGGAGGACCAUAAUACCGCGCAGUAGGACCAUGCCCGGGAGGCGGAGCACCGUAGGGUGGCGGCGGCGGAGGACCCGACCACGGCGGAGGAGGGCGAUACGGCGGCGGCCGUACGCCGCCGCCGUUGCCCCGCCGGAGCUCGUAGUUCACGUCCCUCACGGCUCUGAUGUGCGAGUCGCCGCUGACGAACGCGCCGCCCUCGCCGCCGCCGCCCUCCGCCGCCGCAGGCGGCGGUGGUGGCGGAGCCCGGUCGCUGUAGCCUCGACGCCAUGAGUCCCUUCCUCGAGCCUGCGGAUAAGAGAGAAAAUGAUCGAAGAAACGGGGUCAGGGAUAGGGGUAGGGUUUCGGGAGGGACAAUGGGAAGUGGGGCAUCGCACUCUGAAGCGGGACGAAGAGGACAUCGCGGCAUUGGCGGUGGAGUCGGCGAUGGAGUGGAGCGAGGGAGGAGCGAAUCGCAUGGGGAGGGUUAGGGUUUUCGAGGGGAGGAGGAGGUGGAGAGGAGACGCAUCGCCCUGGUUGACGAGCGGCGACGCUGCAGCGGGUAAAAGCCACCGAGUUUCGGCGGCGAGCGGCGCGGGUUCUACUUUUAUCUGGAAGGAAACUGGACCGGGGAGGGGAGAAGCGGAUAAAGUGAACCGGAGUUACGAAAGCGAUCCAACCGGUCGGACCGGCCAUAAGGCCCAUAACGUUGUCUCUUUUCUUUCUUUUCUUUGUUUUUUUUUUAUAUCACAUAUUUGAGUCAUGAAUCAUUUUGGUUCGUUACCCAACCUAUUAAAAUCUUAAUUUUACUACCUAACCUUUCAAUUUAUUUAUUUUAAAUCAAUCAAUAAUAUUUUAACUUCAAAUUUUAAACACGCCAUUUAUUUUUAUAUAUUUAAUUAGCACAUUUUAUAUAAUUAUCGCAAACUAUAAAGUCAUUAUAAUAAAUAAUUAAGUUAAAUUUUAAAAUCAAAGUAUAGUUGACUAAUUCAAAUUAAACAAACUAAAAGAUCAAAUAAUAAAAUUAAAAUUUUUAAAAAUUAGAUAGUCAAUUCAAAAUAGUAAUUCAAAAUAGUUUAUAAUUCUGGUGAAGUAAAAACAAGUAAUCUCUAAGCUUAAAGCUUGCUGCAUCUUAUGUCGCUUAUGCAGUGGUUGGUAAACAAGCCUAUAUAAUAUUUUUGAUCGACAACAACUGAAGAAAUUCUCUUCAAAUACGUUUGAUGUUCGCAAUGGAAUAGCAGUACUUAACACAAAGAACUCUUUAAACAAAGAAUGCUUUACAGUAGUAUACACCAAAUAUUGUUGGAUCAAUUGAAGAGAAAAAAGCAAAGGGAAGUAUCAAUCUUUUAUAUUUUCGGCAAUCAUAUAUCAGUCUUUAGGAGUAGCCUUCCAUCAUGAUAUAUACGAAGCCGCUUGAUGUCGAUGUCCUCCUGUAGAGAAAAACGAUAUCGAAAGUUAAUCAUAAAAAAAGGACAAAUAACCAAUUUUCAGAGUUUCGCAUGCUACCCAGGUUUAUUUCUCAAUUGCAGGAUCGAACGAUGCAAAGUGACAUUGGAAUCCUCUUUUUAUUUUUCGACAUUUCGCGGUUACUAGUUGAGGUUGGACCAAGUUAGUUAUAUCUAAACGAAAACUCCGCCUAUUUGCAGAUAAAAGCUGCUAAUUUGUUCAGCAUCAACAAAGGAAAGAGGACUUCACAUAAGAAGCUUCUAUCAUACGCCUUACUUAUCAAACAGCUCUAUUAUCGAAAGUUGCUUCUUUCUGUUGCAAAAGCCAAAAAGAAGCAUUUGGGUCCAACCGAGGACAAGUUGUUGGGCCCCAAAGCAGAAGCUCGAAUUGAAGUUCUGCUUUCAGCUGUAAGAGAAGCUUUGGCAACUGCCAUGAGAAAGUCGUCAAGGUUUCUUCGAACGGCUUUAGACAGCCCUUUUAUAGAAGAUCCAGCAGGGCCAAACUGACCCUUGGAUUGAUCAUCCAUGCUUACCUCUUGUAGUAAGUGUAGCCUGCAAAGGCAAUCCCUCCAACAGCCACAAGCCCUAGAAGAACGAUCAAUGCAAUGAACCAACCAGAUACUCCCCUUUUCUCGUAAUUGGUUGAUUCACUGAUGCUGAAGUCAACACAUCUCUGCAGAUUACAUGCUUCUUGUCUAGGAGGCUGCAGCAAGAUCAAAGCAACAAUAUUAUUUUAUGCAUUGCAGAAGAAUCUGGAUGCUGGGGAUCAUGCAAGUAUGCAACAUAACGUGAAGCCUUGCCGCAACAGAAAAUAUCCAAAAUUGGGGUUACCAUUUCGGAAAAAUCCUUUUCAUUUCAAAAGACCAAUUUCUUGGGUCUCAAAAAUUUGUGGGUUCAAAAAGGGAGGAGAGCGUCAAAAUGAAAAAAAUGAUCACAUCUCUGUCAAACAUCUUAAUUUUUUCUAAUUUUGCCUAGUGAGUCCAUAGAUCGAGUCUUGAAAAUUCAGUUUAUCAGUCGCAGAAAAUCCACAAUAGUGAGUAUGAGAGAAGGCCCUGAAGAAAAAUGAAUACAUUGACCUAACAAAAUACUGGAAUUGUUUAACUCACCAUGUCUUUCAAAGAACAUCGAGCAUCAUCAACAGGAUACUGCUUGACUGAUGUGCCAGCAGUACUUCCAAAACAAGCCACAUCUCGAUAACGCACCCCGCCGUCACAAGGAGCGGAACACUUCAUCCAUGGCCCAGAAACCCACUUAAAAGUCUCUACAUGUAUGAAGAUGAAACUGAAUCAGAAGCUAGCGAUUUCAUGCCAAAAAGGGAUCUUACAUAUAUAUCCCUGCAAAAUCAUCUAUUAAUAUUGAUAAUCCUGAAAAUUCUUAGCUAUCACAUAUACCCAUCAAAAGUGCAGUUUCUUAUAAAAUUAUACUCGUCUUAAAUUGAGAAGAGUCAUCCAAUACUGAGGCAAAUUGGUUUGGUAUGAGAUAAGUAAUUCUAAAAGGGCAUUUCGUAUGUAAACACAUAGACAUGCAAGAAAUUAACUUUUUCCACGGCAUAUAUGAAAAUUCAGAUUUUGCAGAGGCAUAUAUGUGAAUUGAUUAUCACCAAAAAGGAAUUCUUAAAGUGUCUUUCAUAGAAGAAUAUCUCCUUUGGUGGAAAUCCAUAGAAAAAAUUUCAAAAUGGUAACAUUGGCUAAAUGCAGUCCAACUCAAAACUGAAAGAUUUCUUGCCGUUUUUUCUCAUCAGGAGAAUGAAAUUUUGAGUGUGAUACUAGCAAGAGGACAAGAAGCUCAAUUAUGACCUUGUGGUUUUAACUGCAUGGCCAGCUGUGCACCAGACUUACAAUAACCCAAUUUACUUGCUUUGUCCAUAAUAUACGGUUCUGAACAGUCCGUGCAACAUAUGUACUCUUCUCCAAAGUCCAACUUGUUGUUGCACCUUCCACACCUGUUUGUUACCUUUGGUGUUUCUGUUCUUGAGGAAGCAAAAGCCAUAUUGUAAAAUAAAAGAAGUUCAUCACUAAUAGACUUACUUUUUAAAAAAUAUUCACCACUUUCAACAAUGGUAAGCGAAUUACAAUAAUGAAUUAGUUUACAUAGACAUGCUUUCAAUUGAGUACAACAGUCAUGCACACAAUAUAAAACUUCAUUAGGCUUCACAGCAUUAUAACUGGCUAAUGGACUGCAACUUUUACAGCUCUGAAGCAAUCUAAUUUACUUCCAGUGUGAUGAACUGAAGAAAUCUAAUAUUUAGGCAUUACACUAAAGCUGAUAAAAUCAGGCUUUGGCAUGCAUAUUGAGAGGUGCCUUUUCGAGAAUUGUAAAAACAAGCAGUGCAUGCACAUAUUUAACUUUUGAUAAUAAUAUUUUAAUAUUUACAAGAUGUGCCAUGUGGUAAAAUUACACAAGAUCCACAAACACCUGACUUUGCAAAUUAUUCUAGCAAUUUGUCAGUUUCUUCAGUGAAAAAGAAUUAAAUGAAGUGAGAAGACCUAUUGAAUGUGUUCUUGUUUUGGUGAAAGAAAGCUAUGUGCUAAAAAACCUCAGCCAACCGAAGACAGGAAAACUUAUACAGGAAGAGUCCCAACCAGGGAGUCGAAUCACACCUAGAACCCGAAACCCCAAUUCAUCUCAUUGAUGGCUCAAACUUUAAUAAGUGGUUUGAUCAAUUUCUACUAUCAGCUUUCAUCAAUAAGAGUAAAUGAAAGUUUGAUUUGUUGUGAUAGUCUCUUGAAGCAACAUUUAAUUUGUCAACAUAAGCAAGAAGUUACUGUAACCAAUGUUUGCACGUCAAUUUUAUUAAAACAGAACUGUUUUUGCAAGUUCAUAUAUAAACCUUGGACAUAUACGAAGUUCAAGCAGCACUCUAGAAACCCACAUAUGGAAGUCAUAGGAAUAACACAGCAGCAUUCUAGACUCUCACAGAUGGAAGGUGACUGUAACCUGUAGAACUUGACAGGAUUGAUUAAUGAAAUCUGAGCUAUCAAUUAGGACAAAUUGAAGUUUAGGGACCACAGUGAAAUACACUUCACAGCUUGGGGACUUCCUUACAUAAUAUGCCCUUUUGCUUGUCAAGCACUGUAUUUACAAUAUUCAAAUUAUCUCAUCUCCCAGUGCAAAGAAAACAUGUCAAUCCAACGUGCUGACCUAACUAAUGAAUGACUAUAACAGUAUACAACCAUAUCAUAACUCCCCUCCAACCUUCAUAUGUAUAAUGAACAUAUAAGGAGAAUCACAACAAACCUGGUAUGCAACAAUGAAAAUGCGUAUGGAAAGGAAGGCAUGGUGGGCUAUCUGACUCCCCGCAAAGACCGUUACAGUUAUCUGAUAGAUCAGCUGAGAAAUGGGAGCUGCAUCCUCCAAACCAUUUACUUUGGCAUUCGGUCCAAUAACAACCUAGAAGCGGAUGACAGAACAUUAAUGCAACAUUGUGAACAUAUCAUCAGGCCCACUUAAUGCCUACACUACACACAUAAAAAGAAACAACAGUAUGUUGCAAAAUUUGAUACUAAUCGCAAUACAAGCAUAAGUCUGAUAAAGUUUGUUAAGUUUUAAUGACUAGAGGUAUCAGGAAAAUGUACCACCUUGUGACUUAAACUGCAUGAUAACACACAACAAGGUGAAUGGAUCAUAUGUAUCUCAAGACAUUCCCUUUCAAUACUUAAAUAAGCUUUCAUGUCCAAAAGCAUACAGAGGAAAAACUUGAACCUUAGGAACUAAUCAAAUCUGGUCCAUGAGCCUUCUAGAUCAUUUAAAAGUAUAUCUCUUCCAAUUGAAUAUUACAUUUACAAGCUUACACAAAAUUUGGAACACACAUCACUAAAGCCUCUGUUACCCCAAGAUUACUAAAAUUAAACUCUCCGUUACCAGAUAAAACCAAUUAUACUCAGAAACAACGAUCAUUAGAAACUUUACAUAUCAAUAAAAGAAGAUCCUUACAUCUUCGUAUAUAAACUAUGAAACAGCACAAACGAUAGAAGCGCAAGGGCGUGAUUAGCACGAGUCCCUCCUCACUCGUAAUCGAACCGAUCAAUUAAGCUCAAAUUGCAAUGACUACUCAGGAAUCGAUCAGUCAAACAAACUAGAUCAAAAUAACCAUUAAAAAUCACAAAAAAAAUAGAAAUCUAGAUUGACUCAGCAACUACAAAACCUAGCUCGCAAGGAUCAAAGGAUCUAAAACAAUCGAUAAGAAAAGGGUAAGCAGGGUUGUGGAUUUCACCAUGAGAGGGGAGAUCGAGGGAGCUCGCGAGGGCGAAGAAAGGGAGAAGAGAGUAGUAGAUUAGAAGCGCCGCCAUUUCCGUCCCCGACCUCGGCUCGAGCGCACGCCACCGACGCCAUUUUUAUCGGAGGUAGGUGGUCUCGAGACCAUUGCGUGGACGAGUUCCACCACGUCAGCAGUGGAAUAAACGGCGACGAAGUUGUCGGUCCACGAGUGGCUUGUGAACCAGGUCCAGUAAAAUGAUUCCCGGGAACGCAUAAGCCCGGAAGAAUCGUAACCGUUGGAUGUAAAUUAAACGGUCAGAUACAGGUGUUGAAGUGUGAUCUCUUUCUCCGUUGUUCAUACUCAAUGAAUUGCAACAAUAUUGAAUAAUGUUAAUUUUGAAAUGAUUAUUAUCUUUUAACUUAUGAAUAGGAUAAUUAAUUAGUUGCAUAAUACCAAGCUAGCAUAAGGCCCAAGUAGAUUAGGGCCAAAAAUUUGUCUAAUUCCCUAAACUUUACUUGGGCAUGGUUUGGAUUCAAGUUUGGAUGAGCACAAGCCCAAUCUAAUAAAGUGAGCAACUCAAUGUGCUGGGCCUGAGUUCGAAGGAUGAGUAAAGUACAUGACUUAAAUUCGAAAACAUUUUACGUUUUGUUUGUGAAGCUCUAAAGUCAAGUUUUCAAAAUUCUAAUAAUAAUAAUAAUAAUAACCAUAUACUUAUUUUUUUGUAAUCUUUACUAAUAUGUGAAUUUAGGAGUGAGGCUAUUAUGCUUCCAGAAGCACGGAGUUUUCUGUGCUUCUAGGUUGUUUUUGAUGUUGCGACUUUCGAAUCGUCGAUCGGCUCCGUUAAACUUAAUCUAGAGAAUUUUAAAUACCUAGAAAAUAAAUUUUGUAAUUUUUCGAUAACAUUUGUCUAGUGAACUAAGGGGCUCAAAAUCAACGGCUGAAAAUAAAAAUCUUACAAAACGUGAUAAUGUGACAUUAAAAUUUUAGAUUAAAGAUAUUGAUCUUGUUUCAUAUAGUAUAAAAAAUUUUCUAUCAAAAUUUCACGUGAUUUGGAUAUUUCUACACCGUUAAACUUGCAAACGGCUCACAACAGCCAUUAAAAUUAUUGAUUUUGAGUCCCUUCGAUCACAAGGCAAAUGAUAUCGAAAAAUCAUAAAAUUUAUUUUCUAAGUACUUCAAAUACUCUAGAUCAAGUUUAACGGAGCCGAUCGACGAUUCGAAAGUCGCAACAUUAAAAACGACCUGAAAGCACAGAAGGCUCCGUGCUUUUAGAAGCAUAGUAGCCUCACUCGUGAAUUUAGAUCCUGAUGUUGUACUAACUCAUUUCUAUAAGAUUGAGUAUAUAUAAAUCUAGACUCCUGAGUUAUUUCUAUUUGAAUUACCAUGGGAAGGUUGAGAUUCCAAUCUAUUAAAAGUUUUAAUUUAUAAUUCUUUAAAUUUACUGCGAUAAAAUUCUUUAAUUUUACUGGAACAGAGAAAUUUUAAAUAUACACCCUGUUGCUGGACAAAGCAGGUACUUAGCCUUGAAUAAUUUUAUACGAAUGAUGACCGUCUGAUCCAUUCCACAUGGAGUCGGCAGGUUAGAUCGGACGGUCAUGAUUUACCGACAGCCAGGUUCAUGUAUCCGGGAGCCGUCACUCGAUUCGAGAUGCAUCCAAAAAUUAAAAAGGGUUCAUGAUUUUUUGUGUCGUGAUCAUGUAGACCCUAACAAUUAAUAUAAUAAUAACAAUAAUAAUAAUGCCAAGUUACUUUUUUUUUUUUUUUGUCUUAUAUGAUAUUUGAUAUUUUGAUUCUUUGGCUUUAAUUUAUUAACACAAAUAUUUUUUAAAUCAAUAUCUACAGUAAAAUUUACUUCACUAAAUCCCGGUACCUUGUUGAUAUAAUAGUAUUGUAAUUGACAGCGUAAGAACGAUUAAGAUGCUACAUUACUAACACGGGAGCAAUGCAUCAUUUUCUAAUUAACUAAACCGUACUUUCCAAAUUAAUUGCAACAAAUUUAAAAUUUUGAACUAAAAAUUAGGACGAGUUGCACGUUUGGUUCACAAACUAUGAAUCCGCUGCACUUUUGUCCCCAAAUUUUAAUUCGUCAUAAUUUUUUACUCAGACUUUUUAUUAAAAGUGACAAAAUAUUAGUGUGUCGCUAACGUAGAGAUAACAUAGUAGUAUUAUGAUUGACGAUGAGAAUGUCAGAUUAUUUUUAUAUUAAUAAUACGUUAAAAUUUAGCCAACUAAAUUAAAUUGCAGGACCUAAGUGCGAUAAUUCUAAAAAGUUCCAACCAGAAAUUGUUUGCAAGUGUCAUCAGGCUCAUAAUCUGAGAAUCAAAUGCAUAAUUAUUUAUAAAAAUUGUAAAUUUGUAAUAAAUUAAAAUUCGAGGACCAAAAUAGUACUAAUCGAUAGUUUGGGGACCGAAAGUGUGAUUUAGUGGAAUAAUAAUGGUGAAGUUACUUAGAUGGGCCAAAGCCCACAUGGGAGGAGAGAAGCGAGGCCCACCAACACGCGCAAACAGGUAGUUAGAGAUUGGCUCGGGAUCUGAUCCCUCGCAUUGGGCCCCACACAUCGUGGGCUGCUCCCUAACCCCCGGUGUUAACACAUUGAUCUCUCCGAUCUCUUCCUCUCAAGGGCAAUCUCGUCAAUCCACAAAAAAUUAAUUAAGGACUUGUUUGGCCGAGCAGUGUGGUUUAAAAUUGGAUAAACUUUAAAUACCACCUCACCUCUGUGGUUUCGCAUAAAGUACCCUGUGAUUUGAAGUGUAUUAAGGUAGAGCUCAUCAGCUUCUCCAUUAAUAUUUUGUUAAAUUAUAUACAAAAUACUUCAGAUACUUCAUCUAGAUUUAUCGAAUAUUUAUUUUAGUACCCUUAAGUUUUAACUUUGUUACUGAUUUAAUGAAAAAAAUUAGUGAAAUCGAUAAUAAAAAGAUAAAAAUGAAAUCACAGAGCAUUAAAUUGAUAUACUUUAAACCACAAGGUACUAAAGUGAGAAAGUGUGAAACUACUAGAGUAGUAUUUGAAGUUUUUCAAAAAAAAUUUAUGUGCACAGUAUCUUCUUUUCAUUAAUAUUAAAAUCAGGCUUCCUUUGGUUUGCCCUAACCAUAUUGUAGAUUAGAUUUUUUUAAAAAAAAAUAAGAGAGAAAAAGAUAGCUGAAUCACCUGAUCAGUAUAAUAGUGUAGAUUAGUUGUUGAACCACAAUCAGUAUCCAAGGUAAACCCCUCAUUUCAAAUAGGCAUUUGAAUCAACUAGUCUCAAAAUUACAAAGAAUUUACUAUUAGUAUAAAAUAAGAACGCUCGUCUCAGCAUAAUUAACUGAAGUGGUCUUGCGAGUUUGCCCCCAAAUUUAAAUAGAUUAAUACCCAACGUGGCAAUGGACUUUAUAGUCGAUAUCUGAUAUUUCAAAAUUGAAACCUUGAUAUUUCAUAUUUUCAAUUAAGUUUAUUUGCCGAUAGUAUACUAUUUUUUUUUCUCAUUUCAUAUUUUUUUAUAAGAAGGGAAAAAAAAAAAUCUCUCGCGGAAAAGUAAACCUUACAAAGCCUAGUUUCUCAAGCUCUUUUGUGUAUCUCAAAUAAUCUACUGAAUAUAAAUAAGUAAAUCUUGUUCAUGCGCAAAACUAUAUAGUUUCUCUUUUGGCCAUUUCCACACACACACAUGACACAUAUCUCUCUCACCGAUCAACUCAGAGAUUCACAUGGUCUCCGAUAUAAAAAUUCUGGUGCAUUAAGCAGAGCAGCAGCUGCAGUAAUGAAACAGAGUAGCACAUGGCAAUCCCAUUAAUUAAAUACUUUUUAGGGUAAAAUACGCGCACUAACGGCCACAAAGACUAAUGUCGGUGCGACAAACAUUGCCUAUGUUGUUUGAUUGUACUCAAAUUGUAUGAUUGAAGCACUUAUUUUAUUAUUAUUAUCCUUCUCCGGUCCAGUACAAUUGAUUAAUAUUGUAAAUUAUCGAUCAGAAAAUCAAAUUUUCAAUUCGAUUCUCUGCAUGCGUGUUUCAAAAUUGGACGUUACUUUUUGGAUUGAAUUAAAUUGAAUGAAACUAACGCCGAUGUUACUUACCUAGUACGGGCAUUUCUACAGACAUAUAUGUCAUAAGUCGUAGGUAUAUUUAACAAAUUAUCCGUCAUUUACUCAUUCGCAUUGCAAUUUAUGUCAAUUAUACACUAUUUUGAUUUUAAAUUUUGAAUGUGCGGUUUAGUAUACUUCAUGCGCUCUCACAAUUAUAAAUUUAUUAAAAUAAAUAAUUAGCUUAAAUUUUAAAAUCAAAUUAUUGUUAAUAAAUUUAAAUCAAACAAAUUGAUUUAAUAGUAAAAUUAAAAUCUAAAAAAAAUUAAAUAAUUGGUUUAAAAUCAUCAUUAGUUCAGAUAUUUUAGAUAUAUAAUUUUAAAUUUGAAAGCGCCAAUACAUAACUGUAUUAAAUCAACGAACUGUACCAUGGAGCACAAAAACGGUAAACGUCACUUCGCGACACACUAAGCCGGUUCAAUUCGGCGAACCGGGUUCGGAGGGGACGGCCCACUGGGCCAACUCCGGUCUCAAAUCCAAACACCGGUAUCAAUCAACACACACCAAUCGAUGGGAAGGAAAAAGGCCCGGUUCAAUCGAACCGGUAAAAUGACGAUAGUACCCUCGGAAGCGGCUUAAAUUGCAUGGCGCCUCGUGUCGGAGAUAGGGGGUGGCGUGUAACGCCGAAGCGAAACGGGCCACGUGACCACUGACACUGCCUGUUCCCAUGCCCGUGAGGGGCAAUAUCGUCAUUUCACUACAAAGUCCCUCUCCUCCACGGAAAAUUCUAGAAUGCAACGGGUAUAUUAAUGACGUGGCGUAACAAACCAAUCAAAUUAAUUUUUUUAAGAAUAUAUGUCCCAUCAUGAUUGUAAAAAAGUAUUUUUAUUAUACUUUUAUUUGAAAAGAAGAAAUGUGAUUGGCUUGUUAUUGAUGACGUGGUGCAAGUGUGACAGUGUAGAAUUCCUCCUCAUUCACAUACGAGGAGAAGUUAUCGCCUCAACCCGGUGCAUUCGUACGCUUCAUGCACCGAACUCAAAUUAUUUUAGCCUGAGUGUUUCGAGGCUUACUUUGAUAUUGAGGUCCAUACGAUGUUACUAAAUAAAAUAAAAUUAUGAUAAAAAUAUAUAAGGAUAUGCUUCUGAGUUAUGUGGUAGAAUUGUAAAAAUGUAUCGUAACUGACUCAUCGUGAUAUGCGAAACGCAAUAUUAUAUACGAAAAUAAAUAUAAUAUUUUUUUUAUCGUACUUUUUCACUACACAUAACGUAAUCUUGUCGCAAUCUCAAAUGAAACCAAAAACUAAAAUAUAGUACACAACCUACAACCUCUAAAUAAAUUAUAUAUAUAAAAAAAUUAUAGUUUGUAUUGAAAUAUUAUUUGGUUUAGAAUAAAAGAAAUUAAAAAAUUAUAAUUUCUUUUAUAUGAUAUAAUUUUUAAAAAAUAUUAUAGCGUAUAAAUAAUAAAGUAGAUUUUAGUUUUGAGAUUUUAUCAUUACUCUUUAGAAGCAUAAGCAAGAUAGCAUUUUGACACUCAUGUGGAUAUUGAUGAGGGGUUUUUUUUUUUGGUGUCGAAGGUUUUUUUUGGUGUCUCAUUACAAUUUAUUUGUUAUAGUUAUUUUUCUUAGAAUCAAAUCAAUCUCUUCAUAUUAUAUAAAAGGGAAAACUUCAAAUACCCCUAUGUGAUUUCGCACUUUCUCACUUUAAUACCAUGUAGUUUAAAGUGUAUCAAGUUAGCACCCAGUGGUUUCGCACUUUCUCACUUUAAUACCCUGUGGUUUAAAGUGUAUCAAGUUAGUACUCUGUGGUUUCCCUUUUGUAUCAAGUUAGUACCCAGUGGUUUUAAUUUUUUUUUUUUAUUAUCCAUUUCAGGAUAUAUAAUUUAACGAAAUAUUAAACCAUAUGAUACUAAAGUGAGAAAGUGCGAAACCACAGAAUACUAACUUGAUACACUUUAAACCACAUGGUACUAAAGUGAGAAAAUGCGAAACCACAGGAUACUAAUUUGAUACAUUUUAAACCACAUGGUACUAAAGUGAAAAAAUACGAAAUCACAAGUUGAGUAUUUGAAGUUUUCUCUAUAUAAAAAUACAAAAAUAUUAAAAUAUCAUUUUUAAAAUAAAGUUAAUAUAUUCAUCCUGAUUAGACUCGUUUUACCCACAAUGAUUGAAAUACAUUUUACGCCUAAUUUAGAUGAAUUAUAAAUCAUUUUGAAUUAGACAUCAAGUCUUUUAAAAUUUUAAUUUUAUUAUUUAAUAUUUAAAUUUAUUUGAUUUGAACCAAUUAACAAUAUUUUUAUUUUAAAAUUUAAGCCUAUUACUUAUUUUAAUAAAAUUUACAGUUUCAAAAAUUAUCUAAAAUAUAUACUAACUAACUUAUAAAAAUAAUAAUAUAUUUAAAUUUUAAAAUCUAUUGCCUAACUCAAAUCAAAUAAAUUAAAAAAUUCGACAGUAAUUUAAAAUUUUUAAAAAAUUGUGAGGACACGUGGCGAGAAACUCAGCACGAGACGCGGUGGCAUUGUGGAAAAUUUCUCGAAACCCAGUGGCAUUUAACGAGAGCAGGUCCUUAUAAGGACUCAUGGUGCGCCCCCCCCUUUUCUCUCUCAACUCAUCUCCAUCGAUCAUCUCCUUCAUUUCUCACCGUAUAAGCCAAUAGGAUGUCGCGUUAUGGUGCGCCGCUACUGCUAUUGUGCGCCGCGGUUCACGUAGCAUUCGCCAUUAAUGAUGGUAAUAAUAGUAACACUUAUCUCUGAGCUCCUCUUUUACUUCUUAUAUAUAUAUAUCUACAUAGCUUCUUUUUUUUUUUUUUUUAAAAAAAGUAGAAAUAUAAUAUUUGUAAAUUACAAAUAAAUAUUCUGANCUUCUUCAGUUUUUUUUUUUUUUUUUUUUUUUUACUUUCAAAUGUGAUUUUUUUCAAAUUUUAUUUUCAAAAUCAACUUAAUGUGAACAAAUAGUUAUGUAUCCGUUGCAAUGACAUUGUUGUUAUUUAAAUAAUAACAAGUACUACGUACUCAAGUGCAAUUUUUUUUUUUUUAAUCACACGGGGCUCUGUUCAAACUCCUGCAUAAAAGUUAGAGAUUCAAACUUUCGACUUCUCAAAUAAUAAUAUACUAUAUUUUGGAGCCGUUACAUUUGAAUUCUUAGAGUUAUUAUUAUUUAUUAUUAUUUGGAACACACAUGGGUACCACCCCUGCAUCGUGUAUGAAAAGAUGCAUAGGUUUCAAAAAUCUCUAGAUUCUAGUUGGGAUUCUAUAAUCGGAGUCUAAUAAUAUUCAAAUGAACAUUUACCAUAAAAUUCACUGUUGAAACUAUCAGUGUGCACUUACAGUUUUUAAUGUAAGUGGUAAAUAAUUUAAUAGUUAGUAUUCGAAGUUUUAUUGCUUUAUAUUUUUAGCUAAGUUUAUUUUUUAAGAAAAAAAAAACUAAACAGAAUGGUAGCGUGAAAAAAAUUUUUUUUUUUUUUUUUUGAGAGAUAGAUAGCACGCUACCCGCUUCGUUUAUUUCAUUUUGAAAUAAACUUAGCUAGAAAUGUAAAUCAACUAGGAUUCGAACUUGGGUUUCGGAUAUCGACCACCAAGUCCUUUGUCACUUGUCACUUGCUCUAGGGAUGGUCGGUUAGCGUGAAAAAAUUGUUAGUAUACAAGUAUUAGAAGAUUCAGUUACAGUAAGUCUUAUUUCUCUUUUUGCUAGAUUAAGAAUGUCUAGGAUUCUCGAGGACUACUACAGUUGUUAAUCUAGGUAAUUUUUUUUGGAUAAGUAUGAAUAAUUUUAGAUUGAUUCUAACUCCUACAAAAACAAGAACUUCAAAUUAGUUCAUUAUCUUUUCAACAUAGUAAAUUUAGCUAAAAAUAUAAAAUAAUUAGAUUUUGAAUUUAGAACCUCAGAUACCAACCAUUAAAUCUUUUAUCACUUAUGCUAGAAAUAGUAGGUAAAUAAUUAUUUUUUAUAGUAGAAAAAUUAUUUUAAUAUUGGAUAAAAAGCAGUGCUUAUAUAACUUAGAAAACACCAGCAAAUGGAUGGUCAUUGUAUUUUUCUACCAAAACCAGGAGGUGGUUGCUAUUAAUGGGGAUAUGGAUCUACCUAAAAUUUAGCUGUUUCUUUAACGUCGCAAUCAAAUCUAUCAGAUACCAAUUGGCUUCUAUUAAUUGGAUGAACAGUGAAAGAAGUUAAUGAAGCAAUAGUUUUAGUAAAAUAGAAAAUUUUCUAAACCUGAAUGAUUUUUACUGAGCUUGUUUUACUGAACACAGAAUAAGUCGAAUUCAAGGAGAUGUUGAGCCUAUUGGAAUUAGCUAUGUGCAUUUCAAAAUUUCUACUCAUCAAUUAAGUAGAAAGCUUAAUAACACCGUCUUUUACGAUAGAGAUAAGUUAUAUAUUUAACAUGCAUAUAAAACGGUUGUAGUUAUAGCAUUUACUUGCUAAUAAAAUUGGCAUCAAUAUUUGUGCCAUGCUGGGGAGCUAUUUGCUAGCUUCAUCAGAAUAUUCUUUUGACUUGACCUAAAAGUAAUUAAUAUGGUAGAUUCAAAAUUUGAAAUGUUGGCCAUGUGGACCAUGUGGAACUUCAUUAUUUGAGUGUCAGAUGUGUGGGUUGUAUUAUUGUAUAUGGGUCAUAUAUAGGUCUUUAGAUCCCAGAAAUGGAAAUUUAACCUUCACAGGAGAAAUAUUUUACUUCUUUUCAUAAUGUUGAUUUUACAUGAUGUUAAUUUUUGAUUAAUUUAUGCACAUGUUUUAAUUUUUAUAUGAAUUUGUUAAUACUGUUAAUAGAGAGCAGUAAUUUUUCUUUGGCCACUGUGAUAGAUGGUUGGAAGUAGCUGCAAAUUGCUGUCAAAAGUUAAAAAAAAAAAUAUUUUUUUCUGGAUUAAAAAAAAUUAUUCGUUGGAUUACUGUCGCGUCAGUAAUAUAUAAAAAUUUAGGAAACUAAAAAAUAAUACAGUUGAUGAAACUAGUGCUCAGCAGAAUUACUCAUAAUUAAAUUUCAAAAGGCAUUAAAUUUACUUUAAAAAUAGAGGGCAAAAUUUUAAAAGAAGCCAAUGCAAUUUACUCUUAAUUGUUUUGUAAUAUUACUUGAGACUUGCACCAUGUAACAAGGAAGCAUGAGGGGGCCUAUUGGGUAGCUGGAGAAAUAAGUGCUUCUACAGAGGCUAAAUUUAUGAUUGGGCCUUGCGACAGCUUUGACCAGCCUAACUUCUCAUAAUUGAAGGGGCAAAAUUAUUGGGCUUAUCAUAGCAAAAUAGUGGCAAUCUUCAGUAGAAUAUAAAUAUUUUUUUAAUCAACUCAACUAAAAAUAUAAAAUAACUAGAUUUUGAAUUUGAGAUCUCAGAUGCUGAUGCUGCUCAUUAAAUUUUUAGUCAACUGCGCUGGAUAGAAUACAAUAUUAAUGACUAAUAAAUGACCAAUACAGCAGUCACCACUUGAUUGCAUUCCAUAUAUCCUUUUAGGAUAUCGACUGUUGCUAGCAUAAGUGGUAAAGGAUUCGAUGGUUGGUAUCCGAGGUUUUAAAUUCGAACUCUAGUUGAUUCACAUUUCGAGUUAAAUUUAUUUUUUUUAAAAAAUAAACGAAAUGAAUAACAUGUUAUUUUUUUCUCUAAAAAAAAACAUAUCCUUUUCGAACUAUUCCUUUUAAAAUUUUGCGCAAAGAGUGAUUCUGGUUCUCAUUGGUAAUUAACUGUCGAUCUAACAUGCAUAUAAUUAUUAGUUACUGGCGUGCGUAAAAAAUUCUUGCACACGAAAUUAAUUUUAUGCAAUGCUAAUGAAUUUGUGGUGGUGCGACUGCGCGCGUUAGGACUUCUUCCGAACGGGAACUUCGAGGCGGGGCCGAAGCCGUCGGAGCUGCGGGGGACGGAGGUGGUGGGGCGGCACGCGAUCCCGGAGUGGGAGGUGUCGGGGUUCGUGGAGUACAUCGAGUCGGGGCACAAGCAGGGGGACAUGCUGCUGGUGGUGCCGGAGGGGGCGCACGCGGUGCGGCUGGGGAACGAGGCGUCCAUCCGGCAGCGGCUGCGGGUGGCGCGGGGCGCGUACUACGCCGUGACCUUCAGCGCGGCGCGGACGUGCGCGCAGGAGGAGCGGCUGAACGUCUCGGCCACCCCCGACUCCGGCGUGCUGCCCAUGCAGACCAUGUACAGCAGCACGGGCUGGGACUCCUACGCCUGGGGCUUCCGGGCGCUCUUCGACGAGCUCGAUCUCGUCAUCCACAAUCCGGGCCUCGAGGAGGAUCCCGCCUGCGGCCCCCUCAUCGACUCCGUCGCCAUUCGCACGCUCUACCCGCCCAGAUUAACAAACAGUAAGUAGUAGUGAUUAAUUCUUCUUCUUCUUCGCAUCCGCUAGAUCUAUAUAUCCAAAAAGAUCAUUAUUAAUAAUAAUAUUUGGUGGUGUAUAAUUGGGUGGGGGGACAGAGAAUCUGCUGAAGAACGGGGACAUGGAGGAGGGGCCGUACAUAUUCCCGAACACGACGUGGGGGGUGCUGAUACCGCCGAACAUCGAGGACGAGCACUCGCCGCUGCCGGGGUGGAAGGUGGAGUCGCUGAAGGCCGUCAAGUACGUGGACGCGGCGCACUACGCGGUGCCGCGGGGGCUCCGCGCGGCGCAGCUGGUGGGGGGGCGGGAGAGCGCGCUGGCGCAGGUGGCGCGCACCGAGCCCGGGCGCAGCUACGCGCUGACGUUCGCCGUGGGCGACGCCGGCGACGCCUGCGCGGGGCCCAUGGUCGUCGAGGCCUUCGCGGCGCGCGCCUCCCUCCGCGUGCCCUACGAGUCCAAGGGCACCGGCGGGUUCAAGCGCGCCGUGCUCCGAUUCGCCGCCGCGGAGAAGCGCACCACCGUCGUCUUCCUCAGCACCUACUACCACAGCAAGCCCGACGGCUCGCUCUGCGGGCCCGUCGUCGACGACGUCGCGCUCCUCAGCGUCCGCAACGCCACCAAACCAAAACCACCGCUACGGCUCAGGCUCCUGUGAGCUUAAUUUUGCGGCACAUGGCCGUGUAUACUAGUUACUACUGUUGGAGUAUUUGAUUUUGGGUGGAGUGGUGUGGUGUUUGUUAUUGUUUUACUCUCUUCGUUUUGGUACGUGCGUACGUGUAUACCAGGUAGGUGCCCUGUGGCUACCACGAAAAACUUUUUUGAGUGCUAGCAUAUGUGGCGCGUUGAUCAGUGGGGUGGGAAAGAGGUUACUUAAUGGUUUGUUCCGUGGAAUAUAAACUGUGUACUUGUGAUUCAAAUGCAAUUACUCUGAAUGUUUACGGUCUUAUGUACGACCAAGUGGUUGUUUUACGUUCUUUUAUUAGAGUUUGAUUUGAUUGGAUGGAUAAACACCGCAUUUCUUACAUUUCUCGAGUUUAGAUUUUUUAUUUUUUUUUAAGAUAAAUGCAUUUAUUAGUAGAUUGGGCUUGAAAUUAAAUUUCUCAAAAUGAAGAUAAACUAAUAUCAUAGUCGAAUGUUUUAUUUUUUCCACACAACUAAUUAUAACUUCUAAAUCUUGCAAGAGACUAAAAACAAACUUUUAGAUCACAGCUGCUAAUAACUAAAAUAUAAAAAAAAAGGUUCUCACUACUCUGUGUCGCCUGCCAUUCAACUGUUACAGUGUUUUUUUCCCCCCCCAAUAAUUAGGCUGUAAAAAUAACUCCAGAUGAUCUCAUGAACUACCACCAAAUACACCUGGAAGUGGUGCAUAUGCAGCGAAAAAUUGGAAAAGUAAUAUACAUGGCUUCAAUAUGAAAGAAAAACAAUAAGGUUAUUACAUACUAUUGCAGAACACGCUAUUCUCCAUUUAGAACAAACCAGAAUGUUGCCAACAGGGAGCUCAAAUAAAACCAGACAGCGAGCAACAAGACGGAGAGCAAUAGUAAGUAAAAAAAGGUGUUAUCUGUCAUAUCCAAACACAAUCAAAGAGUGAAAAUAAAAACCUUCGAGUCUAUCAAGUUACACAUAUCAAGUACAGUAGUACACAUCCGAACGGACAAUUUUGGAAUGGAACUAAGAAAUUCAAAUCUUGUAACUAUCACCAAAAUGUAAUUCAGCUACUCUCCAUCUGGUAAAAGCUUUGAUCAUAAGUUAUACCUGCUUCUACAUCUUUCUUCUUUCCUGAGGGAGGCUCCAAUUGACGACUGUUGCAAAUUCCUUGUUAGAAGCUUGGCUUAGUUUCAAAAAGCGUAACAAAUGAUUCGAAUUGGAAAUUGCAAGAAAGAGCUUAUAUUUGAUGGCAGUCCGACAGUCAGAAGGUUGAGAAAGAUUCGGUCUUAACAGAGACUGCUGCAAAACAGAUGUACGCAUGGAAUACAGACAAGUGCCCCAGCAUGCCUUUCCAAAAGUUGCUAAGCAAAUCUGAAAUUCCGAGUCCAAGAAUUCAAGGCCAGCAAAGUUCAAUUAGAGUGCAUAUAGAUAAACAACAUUGGCAUCUAUUGGAAGAACAUUUCCUGAGCAUUUUCCAUCUACAAGGUGACAAUGCACCACUUUGCUAAAGACUAUCAACAAGGAAAUUGAAAAGAACAUCAGCAACAGCAUCAGAAACCACACAGUUCUAGAACCAUCACAAAUAAUAAUGCCACGUACCUUGUAAAGAAAGUCCUAAUUGUCACCUGUUUCCUGUAACUUUUAAGUCUUAUUAGCUCUAAGAUUUCUUGCUCGCUGAAACACAAAAUAUCAAGAUAUUAUUUCUCAUUUAUUCCCGUGAUGCUUCUCAAGGUGGUCCGAUCCUUUCAACCAUCAAAAUUUGCAUAAAAUAGUCGUUAAGUACAAACAAUUGAUGAUGAUGCGCUAAAUGCCUUUAGUAUCUUCGAAGCUUCUAAUGAUCGUACAUGCACCACAUGCCUACAGUAUCACCAGGCAUUCAUUUCAAUCUUGUUAAGUAACUUCCAUAGGAAUGCUAAUAAAAAACAAUGACUUAAACACAAAGAAUGAGCCUAACAACAACCCAAGAGAAGGAUAAUGUAUUGCUUCAAAACAUUUCGACAGGAAGUUCAUCUUUUAUCAGAAAAUAUUCGUGCCAAUCCCGCUCGAAAUUCAAUAGCUACCUUACAGUGUACUAACAAAUAUGCACAAUAAACCCUACAAUGAUCUUUUAACAACAAUUACUCUGCAGAUGAUGAAUGCCAUAGGUCCGGAAAAAGUAAAGAGUAACUAUUUUAUUUCACGAGGAAUAUCGGUAGGUCAUUUACAAAUGCUUCUAUCAUCCAAAUUGUCAAGGUGAAACGGAUGCAGAUAAUUUCAACAUCAUUCUCCCUUAUGAAUAUUUUCUUUCGUUUCCACUUGAAGUUAAAGAAAAUCUCUUUUCCUCCAAUGUAAAAGAAUUCUUGCAGUGAUUGUGGUUUAAAAUUUUAAAUGGAACAGGCAGCGAUCAAUUUUUAUAACAGAAGAAUAAUUAGUAUUGUUCUGAUCAUUCUUUAUGGAAACAUUAAAUUGCAUGAGAAACAAAUAUACCAAAUGCUUUGUAAGCAUUGGACACAUGUUCUUAUACCAUUCAAUACAUGAGCUCUCAUCAAUAUUCACAAACUGGUAAGAUUAUUGAAGUGGUUACACCAGUACUAUAGCAACCAAAGUACGCGGUAUCUUUUGUAACAAACUCUGACCAGAUUUAGGAAGGAAAUAAACAAUAGUGAAUUAAUACACAAUAUAUGUAAUAUUACUGACAAGAGCAAGCUAUCCAACAUACUGAAUUGAGAUUUCUCCCGCAUUAAGUAAAUAGAGGCACUCAGCAGUUAACUUUUAAGUUCUUACCACAUUUUGAGUGCAACCAUCAUAAGCUGCAAUAGAUACACAGGUGCCCAUAACUUAGCUAUCAAAAGCACCUAGUCAGCCUGCAGUAAGAUCGGGAAAAAUGAGAAGCGCAGUUAAAAGAUACCAACUGAUCAGCUUGUGCUGAAUCCUUUGUCAGGAUCAGAUGGAGAUAGAGAUGUUGCCACAUUCCCCGAAGGUUAAAUAGGUAACAAACCCACUAUCAUCUUGGCCUGCUGGCAUGCUUUAAAAGCCUCCAACUUCAGCCUGAAAAGUGCAUCGGGAAUAUCAAAUAUAUCCCAAGUAUAGAAUAAGCAACUUCUUAUUGAGAUAGCAUUAUGUGCUCACUGUGCUAUGGUAGUAUACAUGAAGCUACUGAACAUUUGAGCCAGUAGAUUAAAGCUACUGAAAUUAAAGAGAACUAAUAACGAGCUCACACUCAAGCAACUAAAAAGCGUUCACAGGAAUAAAUCGAGAAAAAAUUAUGAGAAUUACAUUGAACAGAAAUUUAUGCGCUAUAAAAGACAAGGCGGAAAUUAACAUAAAUUUUAACUGUUUGAGAAAAAUAUUUAUGACAAACUGCACUCAAAAUGCUUUUGAGAACCCACAAUCACAUUAGUAAACCAAACAAGCUUUCUUGCAACAUUAAGCGACAGCAAAUUUGUUACAUUAAUAAUCUUUAGCAAAUUUCCCAGAGAGCAAUCUGCAUGAAAGUUUUACAGAAAAUAAGAUAAUCUCCUGAUAAUUUACUGCAAAGCUAAUAGAAGCUGGUCAUCAUUGUAAACUUUUGAGUCAUCCACAUGGGACAAUUUUCUCAUAGCAAAGUGCAAUAGCAUAAACAGAAGCGACAACAUUAAACCAAGACUUACUUCCAAAAUCGCUCAAGGGUAUUCAACUGCUUUUUUCAUGAAAGAUUUUUCAUACAAAAUUAUGCUACAGAAGCUCAUUGUCUUUAGCACAAAAUAUGAGUAGCAUGUGGCACUAAAAUGAAUGACUGACUUUACAGUACAGCAGAAAGUUAAAGAGACAAGUAAGGACCUAAAAAAAAAAAAAAUCCUACAAUGAGCUGACACUAUUUUCCUGAAGACUGAAAGGAACAUUGGUUCUGGUAGAUGCUAAAUGCUUUAGCUCUAUUAAAUGCUCAUCAUCUGAUAUGUGGAGUUCUAGGCGGAGGUUACCCAUCAACUCUUCUUUUUCCCAGGUUAAGGGCCCAGAUGCAUAUAAUGCCAACAAUGUACGAUGAUAGGCUUCUAACUCUAACCGAUGAACUUCUUCCUCUAGAUCCUCUUUUUUAUCAAGGGAAAGAAAUUUCUCAGAUGCACAGGAAGGUUCAAUAUCAUUGAAAUUUAAUGGACUAACUACAGGACAGUAGGGGGACCUAUAAGGGCUGCAGCAAGGACUACAACUACCGACAGAGGAUGCAAUACUCUCAUCAUCAUUAGGUUCAUCAAUAGCAUGUUGUACUCCAUAUCUUUCACCAAGUAUAUACGGUGAAGCAACAGCAUCUACCUUUUCAAGUAGAACUGGCUGGCACUUUCCCUCUUUCUCUACUAAUCUCCUCUUAUUCUUAGCUCCUGCAGAUGUGCCAAUAAUCAUCAAGCAGUCAUUUGGCCUUUUCUCCCCACUUCUCGAUGCGAGCUCCCUAAGACAAGUACUUCUUCCAAAGUGUAAUUGAUCAUCUCCACCGUAUUUCUCCAACUCUAUGCAUGACUGAGGUACUUGUGGGCUAAAGUUCCCCAACUUCAUCCGGCUAUCCAUGACUCCUUUGCAUCUUCGAUAACCCUGCAGCAAAAUAUAAACACAUCAAUCACCAAAAAAGGUUAGAAUAACUUUUCGCAGAACCAUGGCUCAAUGAACGAAAAAAAAAGACCUCGUUUGGCCACGGUCACUGUUUUUCUGGUCUUCAAGCUCAUUGUUUGCAAUUUAUACAUUAAGGAUUUUAAUUGUCAACUAACUACAAUAAUUCAGAGUAACUUUUUUUUCCCCUCUUUGUUGCCUUAGUAAUACCCAAAAACAGAAGCCCAUUCGCUGGCAUGUUGAAUAGCGAAUUUGAGUUUUAAAAAGUAAAAAAAAGCACAUGUGUAACCAAAUGAGGCCUAAAGGUUUUCAGUAAAAAGAAAGAAUCGUAAUCAAUAGCAAAUAACAAGAUCAAAUUAAUAUGAUCACCUUCUGAAUCACAUCCCAUUUCCCAUCCCUCCAAGACUGUCGCACUCUAAGGCCAGAUAAAUGCGCUCUAAAGACUUUCGACGUUCCAAGAAGUCUGACAACAUAAUAACUCGAAUCAAUGACUCGGGACACUAUUGCAAGCUUCCAGGAGUUACUCUCAAAGGCCUCAACUAUGUCACCCUGAACCCAGCUCUCUGUGGACUCGAAAGGAGGCGGGCAUGGCCUGAUAGCCUUUCUCGGCACUCGCCCGACAGCCAAAUUUGUAUCAAGUGAACAAGUAAUGAAUCGCACAUUAUAAGUAUGCCCGUUGCCGGAGAUUAUCUCCGCAGGGCACCAUGAUCCUAAGGGCACCUCCCACUUGCUCAUUACCUCCACCUUGCUGCCUUUCUUGAAUCUCAUUGUGCAAUGAUCUCGGAUUUCAAUUUCGAGAACUUUGAUUUGAACAAUCUGAUGAAGAAAAAAGGCAAAGAAUUAGAUCCACCACAAAUUACUGCAGUAUUUUACACAAUAUUGCAUUCAACAUGAAAUUAUAAGCAUCAACUGAAUAUUCUCCAUAUGCCUAAUCGAUACGCUAUUUAGUUAAGAGAAAAACGUGCAAAGAAACGCAAACAAACACGGUAAAAUCUAGUAAAACUACAAAUCAGCCGAUGAAGUUUUGUUUCCAACAAAUAUCGAAGUUAAUUCCACUAAUGAUACAAUAGCUAGCAUAUAAAUAUCGACCAUACGUCGUUAGAAACCUACAAAAAAUUGCAUCAGGGUGCAAAUACUAACAUCGAUCGAACUUAACACAGAAGAGACAAUAGCAUGAUCGAACAACCAUACAAUAAGUGCAAGUUACGAUGCGAAACUGGAUUUAAUAACUACGAAAACCCUAGGACUGAUUCAACAUCAAACCCUUACUAACCUUCAAUAAAAAGCAUCUAAUAAUCACCCCAAAAAUUGAAGAACAUCUCAACAAAAUUAAAAAAUAAUCAGAAACAUAACAACAAAACAAAUAACAGCACCUAAUAAAAGAAUCACCCACCGAUCCCCGUACUUAAAACUAGUCCAAAAGGAACAAAAGGACGAUAAAUUCCAAAAUAGAUGAAAUGAUCGAGCAAAAACACACAAAAUUACAAAAAAAAAUGGAUAUAUUUCGAAUGAAGUGUGAAAGAAAAUCACAAUUACCUCUCUACGAUCGAUCGAUCGGAGACGAAGAGCGAUCGAUUCGUCUCCUUCUCACCUUCGCUUCUCUUCGACGAUCCCUCGCGCUCUCCCUCUUCCCUCCGCUGCCCCCAAAUUCCUUCCUUCUGUGGGUUUAAUUUCUCGGCUUAUUUCUACCUUUUUAAUUUUUCGGUUUAAAAAGCGUAAAUUGGUAGGAGAAAAUUAUAUUAAAAAAAGGGUAAACUUCAAAUACCACCCUGUAGUUUCUCAGUUUCUCACUUGAAUAUCUCAUAUUUUAGAUUGUAUUAAGUUAGUCCCUCGUGAUUUUAUUUUUAUCUUUUUGUCAUUUUUUCGUUAAUAUUUCGUUAAAUUAUAUACAAAAAACUUCAAAUACCCUAUUUAAACUUAUCGUAUAUUCACUUUAGUAUCAUUUAGUUUUUAUUUUAUCACUGAUUUAAUAAAAAAAUUUGUAAAAUUAAUAAUAAAAAAAUAAAAAUGAAAUCAUAGGCACUAAAUUGAUAUACUCUAAAUUAUCAGAUACUAAAGUGAAAAUAUAUGAAACCACAUGAAUGAUAUUUGAAGUUUUUUUUUUAAAAAUAUUUAUACAUUUAACGGACGUGACGGGAAUUAAAAUCCAACUGUGGGGUAGGGGUUACGUCCGGGGAGAAGAGGUGGCGAGUCCGAAACGAACUGGGAUGCGGUUGAACGAUAUUAACGGUCGGAUGAGGAGCGGAGUGGACGGUUGGAUGUGGAAUGGACGGUCAACGAUUUUUCUCGAAUCUUCCAUGUGUGUGAGUUAAAUCGAACCGGUAACACCAGUGGCGGUGCACCCAAUUUAGAGUAGAGAGGAGUUAUUUUCCUCUGUAAAUAUUCAUUUUUAUUAUUUAAUUUAAUAAAUAUAAAUUAAAUUUAUUUGUAAUUUUAUUUUUUUUAAAUAUUAUAAUUAAAUUUGUUUUGUUUGAUAUCCAAAGUUAAUGGCCGACAAAAUAAUAGAAAAUUAACUAUUGUGAUUUUUUUAUUUUUUAUAUGUUAAUAUACAAAGUUUCAGUAAACUAAACAAAAAGAGUGAAAUAAUUAUCGUAAUUUUAAAGUCAUUGAUUUUCUACAGAAAUAAACAACAACNAAAUAAAAAAAUCACAAUAGUUAAUUUUCUAUUAUCAUGUGAUUUUUUUAUUUUUUAUAUGUUAAUAUACAAAGUUUCAGUAAACUAAACAAAAAGAGUGAAAUAAUUAUCGUAAUUUUAAAGUCAUUGAUUUUCUACAGAAAUAAACAACAACAUAAAAAAUAAAUUCACAUGAACUUCACAUCAACUAAAAGUCAUUUUCUAGGUAACAAAUAUUUAUAGGCGAACAAAAAAGUUGUAACGAAUAAUAUAAAUUUUUUUAAUUUAAAACUUGCAAAAUUUUCUUUCAAAAUAAACCUUCCUGCAACACUCGCCUGGCCCAUUUUAAGAACGGUUUGGCCUUAUUAUGGAAGUAGCAGAAUAUAGCAAGACCAAUUUGUAUAAAAAAAAAUCACUAAUUUUAUGAUUUUGCAAAGAUAGACUGUUUUUUAGAAUUUUAUAGAUUCGGUUCGAAAUUCUUGAAAAUUAAAUCAAAUAUUCUUACUUAUUUUUCUCCUUUUUUUUUUUUUUCUGUUGUUUUUUCUUUCCUCCAACCCUCCUCCACCUAGCUCCUUCGUAGCCAUCAGCGACGGUAAUGAAGGUAGCUCCUCAGUUUGAAUAAGAACAGAGCAGAUGGAGGUGAUGAGGGCGUGGCCGAGAUAAUACUUGUUAUCGCCCGUAAAGGUGAAGACGAAAACAUACCCGCACUUUUCCAAAAAAAGCCACAGAAAGUAAAAGAAAUAAUAAUAAAAAAUAAAAAUAUCUUUUUCUAUAGAAAAGAUCAAAAAUCAGUGAUGAAAGAAGAGAAUAUGAAAUAGCACCGUUAAAAUUAGGUUUCAUUAUUUGAGAAGAAAUUUGAACGAAAAUUACAUAUUUUGAGAUAAAAAAUUGUAUUAUCUCAUAUGAGAGUUACACGUUUUGAGAAAUAUUACACUAUUUUUUCUCCUCCUUUUCCUUCGCUUCGCAUGCUUCUUCCGUGCCCAUCUGAGGUCGACGACGCGUGGUGGAGGCGGAGGAAAGCGCCGCGAUGCCGGAGAAGAGAGCGGCGGAGAAGUGGGCCGGGUCGGGCCCUCUGUACGACGCGCCUGGCCCGUAGGCCAGCUGCGGUCGGCCGGGCCGGGCCAGCAGGCUUGCUUCUGGGAGGGUCGCGCCCGCUGCGGGACAGGCCAGGCCAGAAGGCCCUCUUCGGGGCGGGCCAGGCCUGAGCGCUCGCUGGCCCGCUGCAGCCGGGCAGGGCCCGCCCUCCGGUACCGGGUGGGGCAGGACGGGCCAGCGCAUCCGCAGGGCGUGGCGGGCCUCUCUCCCACAAUUGCUUCUCUCUUCUUUUUUUUUUUUUUUUUUUUUUUUUUUAACUUCUCUUCUCUGUCGAUGCACAAAGAAGAACAUAAAAAAAGAUGACAACACACCUAAGUUCGAAUNUUUUAACUUCUCUUCUCUGUCGAUGCACAAAGAAGAACAUUAAAAAAGAUUACAACACACCUAAGUUCGAAUCCUAGUUGAUUCACAUUUUCAGCUAAAUUUAUUUCCAAAUGAAAUAAACGAAGCGGGUAGCGUGCUACCAAUCUCUCAAAAAAAAAAAAAAUUACAACAGAAAUGCACGAAAUAGAAAGAAAAAAAAAAAAAAAAACACAACGAAUGUAAGAUUUUUUUUCGUAUAUCUCAUGGUCAUUUUAAAAGAAAUUAAUACUUAACUUAUUUGGAUAAAUCGCAAUCCGCACCUUAUGUGAAUCGAGUUGAAUUUCAACAAAUCAAUGUGGACACACCACAUGGCAAUAUUUUUAAAAAUAGAUUUCCAUUUUAAGGUAUUAUAUCAUAUUUUGGUUCUCGAAGAUGUCGGUGUACGGACUGGGAGGAUGGAUGUAAAUAAUCUUAACUACAAAACAGUGCUUCGUAUCACUUUCUGAAAAGAUUAAAAAUAAAACUGAAGUUCAAUUUAUAAUUUUUUUUUUUUUCUGAAAAUUGCAGAGGCUGAAAGGAGAAAAACCAUGGUCUGAUAGAGGACAGAUGCGUUGAUGGACCAGAUCGAGGCAAAGCUUUUUCUCUUGGAACUCUCUCAAAAUUUAGAUGAAUAGUCAAUUAAACCAUUCAUAGUCUUUAACUAAGAAAGACGGCAAAUGCAGCGCGCCGACCUCCGCUUUCUCGUGUUGAAGGCAAGAAGCCACCAAAUUGCAAAUGCUAGUUUUUAUCAAACAACAGCGUAGAAACUCAUAAUUUAUGGCACUUCCCAUAACUUCUAAUUGGAUAAUAUCAGAGAACUUUAAAAGUUUCACAUGGGAGAUAAUGUAAGUGUGUCAAACCCUUAUCUAUUGGAAGCACACUAAUACUAAUAUGAAAGUUAAGCAUUUAAAUAGAUGAUUUGUAUCAAACGAGUUGUUGGUAUUAUAUUUAGUACUAGAGCCGGAUUGGCAACCGAAAGUGUAAGAUAAAUUUAAUGCACCUUAUAAUUUUUAACUGUUUGUAUAAAUGGAUCUAACGAAAAUAUAAGAAUCUAAAUGACAAAUUUGAUCUGACGCGGAUAGCAGGAUGUGAAACGGAUUCAAGUGAUGACGCGUGCAACGGAUCAGAUUGGAACAUUUUUGCAUUUGACCUAUUUAAAUCAGAGGUGGAGGAAAUCCGAGGUAACGAUGUUGCGGGUCAAACUUCUGAUCCUUGAUGGAAGGUUAAAAAGAAAAGAAAGAAAAGGAUGGAGUGAAAGUCUGAUGUGCACCAUCGGGCUUGGCACUACUUUGCAUCGGUUGGAUUUAUGGAAGGUUACUGCAUUCCAGAAGCAUAGAUAGCUGGAUUGUUUCGUUGGCUUGGGGUAAUAAUAAUAAUAAAGUUCAUUGUUAGAACCAAGUGCCCAUUUCCUUUCUCCUCAAACAACAACCGAGAGAGAGAGAGAGAGAGAGAGAGAGAGAGAGAGAGAGAGAGAGAGAGAGANNNUAUAUAUAUAUAUAUAUAUAUAUAUAUAUAUAUAGAGAGAGAGAGAGAGAGAGAGAGAGAGAGAGAGAGAGAGAGAGAGAGAGAGAGAGAGAGAUAAACAAAAAGGAAAUUCCAGCAUAGAGAUUUUUUUUUUUUGGGGGGGGGAACAACAUUUGUAUUUUGUAUGCAGCAAUCAGCAGGUUGGCUAAAAAGAAGAGCAAACUCAUAAAAAGAAAGGAAAAAAAAAAGAACAGCUCAAUCUGAUGCAUCUCUAUCUUGUUUAAUGUAAAUAUUAGCUCCUAAUUUAAGGCUGUAAUUAGUUAAGAGUUUCCAUUUCAAAAACUAAUGAAGCCUCGGAAUGCGCUUUCAUUGUUGUAUUUUUACUGCUAGUGCACGGCUUAUGUAAGCUGAACUCAAUCCAUCAUCAGAGUAAGACCUGUUUGGAUGCGAGAAUAUUUUAUUCGAAUUAAUUUUUUGAUUUUACUUAAAAAAUUUAUAGUAAUUAGUUAAAAAAGAAUGUGAUGAAAUGACUAAAAUAGAAUACCAUAUCUUCAUAUCAUUUUUUAAAUAAGAUAAACUACCUCAUAAAUGAAAUAUGCUAUAGUACAAAAUUAUGAAUGUCAACUUAUUUUCAAUGAGUAAAUAUUAAACCUUUUACUUUCAAUCAUACAAGAAAAAUUUUUAUACUUAAUAAGCCAUCAGUAUACAACAAAUUCCGACGUUCUAAUAGAGCUUUGAAGGCAUGUUUGGGUGGAUGAAUCAGUUAUUCAAUAAUAACUUGUGCGCUACAAGUAUUCUCACAUGGUUGCAACCUUUAUUUUUAUUUUUAAUCUCUAGCAAAUUUCUACAAUUAUAAUUUGUUAGAGGAGUAAUUCGCCUGCAAUGCUAUAUAAUUUAUAUGAGAAAAGGAAUUGCCGAUAAGUUAACAAAGAAGAUGUGUUGAACAUAAUAAUAUUCAUGAAUAUAAACAAGACCACCGACCGUCCCUAGAGCAAGUGACAAAGGGCUUGGUGGUUGGCAUCCGAGACCCAAGUUCAAAUCCUAGUUGAUUCACAUUUCCAAUUAAGUUUAUUUCUAAAUGAAAUAAACGAAGCGGAUAGCGUGCUACCUAUCUCUCUCUAAAAAAAAAAAGAAAAAAAAAGAAGAAUAUAAACAGGACCUAAAUAUAUAAAAUUUAACAAUGGUGGAGAGUGAAUGAGCUUCUCAGUUCUAGACAUGAAAAUAUUGAUCUAAUUCCUAUGCAUAGGAAUUGAUAUUGCCAGAAUUAAUUUUAUUAUUUACAUGCCAAAACGACUUGUUGUAACUUGUCAAGAUACAAUUUUCCGGGAUGUUGAUCAAUUCAUGAACUAAUAGACGAUUAGUCAAUCACUGACCCUGUAGUUGGGCUGCUCUUUUAAAUAGUAGGAGAGAAUUUGGAUUGAUACUGCACCUGAUAAGAUUUGAUAGCGAUAUGUUAUUAAUUACUAAUAUUAUUAUUAAAUGAUAGUACUGUAAGUUUCAUCCUAACUAACAUAAUAAUUAUUGACAGGGAAAAUUCUCAAUUCGAAGGGACUCAAUAACAAAACAGGUUAUAAGUUAACAAACAAAUGUAGUUAACAAGUGAACAAACAGGAGUAGGUAAACCUAAACUACCCGAAGAUAAUUACCCGGCGAACCCUGCCGUCGUAGGAGACCGCGAGCAACAGCAAUUGAGAGAGAGAGAGAGAGAGAGAGAGAGAGAGAGAGAGAUGAGGAAAAGUAGUGGAUCCUCUUAAGAAACCAUAGCCAUAUAUCUGACACGUCCACCCUCAAUUUCCCCAUCACAGUGUGAAAAAUUAAAUCGAUAAAUAUAACCGUAGAAGCAAUUUCCGAAACAACCAACAUAUCUAAAAGAUGUAGAUCAAGAUCCAGAAAAUAUUCUAUCACAAUAUCGGAACCCUAAUUACAGGGAUGUCCAAUCCACAAUGAAUCCUAAUCACAUCAAAAACCAUCGUAAAACCUUCCCAAAUUCGAAUUCAGAAGAAUACGAAACUCUAUAUACCCUAAUCAGAGGAAUCAAAUGCACUGUAGUUAAAAAAAAAAAAAAAUGGAAACGAUCGUAAGGAUACGUACUUAUUAGCGAGAGAGGGGGGGGGCACGAAUUCGAUCCCGUUCCACAUCCUCCCCGAUUCAUCCCGUUCCCUGGGAAUCGGGAUCGGAGACUCUGUUCUCGUUCCCGUAGCUCCCGAUCGCCUCGAUCGGAUCCACAUCCUCCAUGAUCGUCAUCGACGUCCCGUUCCAGUUGCUGUACCCGUCGAUCGACUUGUUCUUGAUCCGCGCGAUGAUCGACUCGUCCUUGCUCGGCAUCUCGAUCUCUGCGGACGAUCCGUAACAGCCGAUCCGAGAGAUCAAAGAGGUCGCGAAAACAAGGCGAUCAGAGAUCAAAGAGGUAGCGAAAAGAGACGCGAUCGGAGAUCAAAGCGAUAGGGUUAGAGAGGGAGAAGAGGGGGGGNGGGUUUACCGGCGCUGGAGAAGAACAAGAGGACGGCGAAGCAGAGGACGAUGACGAGGGGGAUGAGGUGGAUGGCCCUCUCGGCGAGGCGCGACUGCGCCGCCUCCUUCUUCGCGGCGUCGGAUGAGGGGUCGUAGAGGGGGAGUUGGUCGACAUCGAGGGCGAGGCUCGACGAUCUCGCACCUCCGCCGCCGCCGCCCAUGGUGAGGUAGCUCCCCGAGCGGUGCAUCUCUCUCUCUCUCUGUGUUUCUCUCUCUAGGUUCUUGAGGGUUCUGGAGAGAAAUGGAUCGGAAAGGGGAGAGAAAAGGGGGGGUUUUAUAGUGGUGCGCUUUCGCUCCGCUUCGCUUCCGAUGGAGGGUAGGGGACGCAACGCGGGAAUUUGGUUUUUGGGAUUUCGCGUCGCAGAUCCAGGAAUGAUGGACCGAGUGCACCGUGGACCACUGUUCUACGCCGUGGACCACCGUUCUAAACCUAGUUAUAGUCUUAAACUUCGUUUGGAAUUGCGGAGAGAUAUGGAAUUGCGGAGAGAUUGCAUUAUAUACCGUGUCUCAGUACGAUAAAAAGAUUGCGGUCCGCAUAUUGCGAUGUGAUGAGUCGAUUAUGAUAUAUUUUUUUUAUGGUCCUACUAGAGAACGCAAAUGUAAAUCUCUAUAUUCUUUUACCCUAAUUCUAUUUUAUCUAAUAACGUCGGAUAAAACUCAAUACCGAACUAAGCUUUAUAGGUAGGAGAGAAAAAUAUCUUAGACAUAAUUUUAUAAAAAAUAUUAUCUAUACACUUAUUUAUUGGAGUAUAUUAAUUAUCCUACUCAUCAAAAAGUUUAUUGAACCUUUUUAAAAUAUAUAUUUUAAGACUAAUAAAAAAACAGUUGCCUUUUUAUGAAUAAAAUAUUAGAUUUAUAUUUUAUAAAUUGAUAUAGAAGUAGUAUUGCUCUAAUUUUAUACACAAUCUUUACACACAUUUUCGCCUACCUCUAAUUAUAUAAAAAGUCUCUGGAAAUUGUGUUAACAAUAUUUAUAAAUAAUCUAGUACUGUUACAUUUCUUGCAAAGGAAGUUGUACUACGAAUUUUAGAUGCAUUUAAACCAAAAUUUGAUUUUUCUAAAUGAAACUAUAAAAGUAGCCUCCACAGCACUUCAAAAUCUUUAUUUCAUUAAUUAUACUUUCUAGACAUCUUUAAUAAGUAAUAGAAUUUUUUUUUUUUUUUUUUGAAACUAAUUGAUAGUUAAAUAAUAAUUUUUGAAAAUUGCGAUUUCCGAACAUGUUAGAUGCCCAAAGUUAUGUAGAUCACAUUUCAUUGUUUAAAAUCUUACUGCAAAAAUUAUAUAACUUUACAGUUCAAAAGAAUAAGAACUGCAUCUUAAUCUAUUAGUUCUGACUCCAGAGGAGUAUUUUGAAGACGGGAUCGACUUCUACGGGAAUAUAUUUAUGAAAUUUGAUCUCAUUCUCAUAUUCUAAUAGUAGUAGUAGAUUGUUUGAGAUGAAUUUUAAGUUAUGACUUAAAAAAAAAUAAUAACAAAUAAACAAAAAGAAACUAUUCCAGGGUGCACCAUCACGGUCCACGGAACAAUUUCUCGGCAGUUCAGCGGUUUCGUCGGCUCCUGGAAAGUCGAGUUCAGAGCCUCAGAGGUGACUGAGAUCCGGGUUCGUCGGAGUAGGAAUGGUACUCGUUGGUUGCGGUCUACGAAAAAUACUUGGUGGUCCGCGUCCUGCGACCCAGCAUUAUCAAUGCACGAAACCUAAUAAUAAUAAUAAUACCAACUCAUCUAUUUCCCACUUCAGAAGCAAUUAUUAAUGAUGGGAAAGUUAUACUUUGUAACGCAAGCAUGUUUUAAUUUAUUAGGCUUCGUCUGGUUUGGAGGUAAGUAAAAACUAGUUAUUUCAAAAAUAUGUAUGAAUUUAAGAUUAAGUCUGUAAUACAUUAAUUUUAUGUUCGAAUGAAAAUUGAGUUCAGGAUAAGUAAAAUAGCACUUAGAUAGAUAAGAUAAAAUAAAAGGAAUAGUAGGUAGUUAUAAAUAAAAAAAAAUGGUAUUGUUCUUUAUAUUUGAAUUUAAAUUUUUAAAUUUUAUAUUUAAAAUUUAAAGUUUAAAUAGAGUCCGGCUGAGAUACUAUCGAUAGCAUGAAGCAUUUGGUACUAUCAAUUUUUUUGCCGUUAGAUUUAUCUUUUUUAUUAUUUUCAUCCGUUCGAUUAUACUAUUCAACCAACCACCCACUCAACCCUAGGGACCCACGUCAUCCUAACUACACAUCUUUUAAUCCAAGAUCGAAAAUUUAAUAGCAUCAAGUUAUUGGUAUUAUUAAUAGUAUUACAGCCUAGUUCAAUUUAAAUAUAUAUCUUUAAAAAUUGAAAACUUCAAAAUAAAAUUUAAAAUUUUAAAUCUUCAAAUUCAAAAAUUUUAAAUUUUAAAUUUUAAAUUUAAGAUUAAAUAUAAAUUUUAAAAAAAUUAAAUAUCAAAUUUUAAAUUUUAAAAAAUUAACAAUAAUAAUAUAUAAUUUAAAAUUUAAAAUUAUAAAUUUAAUUUUAAGAUUACAAAAUUUUAAAUUUAAAAAAUUUAUAAUUUAUAAUUUAAAUUAUACCCCAGCCAAACACCACAGUAUAAUUUUUAAUUUAAAAUUUUUAAAUUACUAUAAUUAAAUUUACAGUCUAAUUUUAUGGACUGAAUAUCAAUAUGCCCAUAAAGGAACAAUAAUAUGAUAUUUUAAUUAUUAUCACAUCAUUAAUUACAACAUCAAUACAUCACUUUCGUAUUAACAAUAUAUGACCAUUCAGUCAAAUUAAUUAGACGGUAAAACUGGAUUGCAACAAUCUAGAAAGCAUGAGCCCAAAAUUAUAAUAAAUUAAAAUUUGAGGAUAAAGCUGUCGCGCUAGCCGUAUAUUAUUGACUACUAGAUUGUCAGAUAUGAUAGUUAAUGAUUGAUUUAUUUUUCAAAUUUGAUAUCUAUAUUAGAUGUCAUAUUGAAUAAUUGAAAUUAAACCAACUACUAACAGUUAUAUGCAUAAUAAGAACUUACUAACAAUAUAUAAAAAAUCUUUGUAAUGUAGUAUUAAUCAUGGUCUUAUAGUCGAAAAAAAUUUAUUAAGAUAAUCGUUCUCUAUCAGCUUAACCUUUUAGAGCAGCCAAUUGUUUCAAAUGGUAGAAGAGGAGAAUGUGCUGAUCUACUUGGACCUGAUCUAGUUGAUCCAAACAUCUCUACAGAGUUAUAAUCACAGAUGCAAAUUUCUUCCCCAGAGAAAAGCUUCCCACACUUGAAGUGUUACAAUCCCAAAUUAGAAAGGAAGAGUUAUUUCCCCACCUCAAUAGAUUAGCACUUCCUGCAAUCAUGAAUCAAAAAUCAGAGUUGGGUUCAGCAUCCCGAAAUGUUACAAAAUGCUAAAAAGGAAAGGAAAAGACAUAACUUACAAUUUUUUAACAGAACACAAUACUCUUCUCGUCAGAAAUUUCGCUGCAAGUGCUAAUUCAUUUGGAAGGUAAAGUUGUUCUGCAACUCUUGGAGAGAUCUGUUCUACAAAGUUUUGAUUUCGACGACUCUCCUGCGCAUUAGUGGCUCACUUUCAAAACCAACAAAUAUUAUGCACAAAACUUCAGAACCAGUAAACUGUAAAGCGAGCAAUAUUAGAACAUGCAUUAUUGUUGCAUUUUUUUAGUAGAAUAUCAAACUAUAUAUUGCCACCUGCAUAACUAGUACUCAUUUUCUCAAACAAAGUCAUCGUAAAGUUCAUUCCGGUUCAUUUCCUACCAGGGUACCAUCCACACUACAACAAACACACAUUUGGGCAACUUAAUUGCAUGGCGGUGUUAGCGAAAAUUUUCUAGGCACAAAUAGUCAAGUAGGUAUUAUCACCAUGAGCAAAACUAGAAGAAAAAUUUUCUGGUACGAACAUCACUUAGGGGCUCUGAGAUGAAUGUCAAGGUAAAUAGAUGAAUAUGGACUUCCCCAAAAGCAAGAAAAUGGGAACAAGGAAUCAGAUCAACUGAGUAUGCUCAAGUCAUAUGAAUGAAUGGAUAGACCAACACAGCUAUUUGUUCUAACUAAAUACAGUACUUGCAAUGUACAGAGAUUGCUUUCACAAUAGUGCUUACCUCCUUUAACCCAUCAAUUUCGAACUUGGGUCUCCAUCUUCAAUGUGGUAUCAGGAUCUUCUCUCUCCGAUGAGGGAAUAGGAGUUCUUGCCCACAAUGCCGGUUGAAGCAUGUUGACUUUCAUAUAGCGGAAGCCGAGUUUUCGGCUAAAGGCUUUUCACUAACAAGAAUAUCAUAUGUCGUAUCAUCAGGCAGAAGGCCUCUGUCAAGCAUUUCGUCGUGCAACUGAAAGGCCUCUUGCAACUUGCCUUCCCUAAAGAAUCCAUUUAUCAAUGUAUUAUAUACAACAACACUCGGAGGCACUUUGAAUUCAUCCAUUUCAUCCAGAAUUUUCCGAGCUUCUUCUAAUCUUCCAUUGCGGCAAAGACCAUGUGUUAAUGCUGUGAAAGUGAUUUCAUCAGGAACAUUACCCUUUAAUACCAUCUCAGAGUAAAGUUCUGAAGCCAAUGGCACAUUACCAACUCUAAGCAAUCCAUCAAUUAGGGUUGUGUAAGUGUCUGUAUCACAAGAAGUACCUUCUUUAACCAUUCUUUUGUGCAGCCGAAUAGCAGCUUCCAUUUCAUUCCGAUUUUUAUACUCGGUGAUGAGACUGUUAUAUAUAAUUGCACUAGGUUUCAAUCCAACAUUGCGCAAGUCAUCAAACAACUUAAGUGCACCAUUUAAGUUCCCUUCUUUGCAAAAACUAACAAUAAGAGAAUUAUACACAGCAAUAUCCAAUUCAAGGCCUCGUCGUUUCACCUCAUUAAGCAAUUUCAAAGCAAGAUCACUGCAACUUUUCUUACAGUAACCAUCAAUGAAAGUGGUGAAUGUGAUUAUACUCGGGGAUAUACCUUUCUCGAGCAUUUUUUGGUAAGUCGAGAAUGCUGAAUUCAUCAUGCCGCCUUUUACAAAGCCAUUAAUUAUACUAUCAUAAGUCAUCCGACUGGGAAUAAACCCUUCCUCGAUAAAUUUAUCCAGCAUUUCGUUAACUUCUGAUAUUCGACCAACCAUACAAAGGCCAUUUAUUAAGGUGUUAUAUGUAUAUUCGUUACAAGCAAUGUUUAAUGCACGCAUUUCAUUAAGAAGAUUAUAAGCCCUAUCAAAAUCUUUUUUUUUUAUGUGUCCAUCCAUCAGAGUAGUGUAUGUGACAACAUUAGCUUUAACGCCACUCUGAGACAUUUCAUUAUAUAAAAUAGUAGCUGAAUCCAUGUCACCUUGCUUGCCAUGCCCAAAGAGCAAACUAUUGUAAGAUACAACACUCGGUUUUACUCCCCUUUCCUUCAUUUUAUCCCAUAUAUUCAAUGCUUCCUUCAAUCUACCACAUUGGCAAAGCCAAUGCAUAAGAAUAUCGUAAGUGAAGACAUUCGGUAUACCAAACCCAGUUGCCUCAUCAAACAAAUCCAAAGCCUCUUUAAAUCUAUUAUCUUUGAGAAAGCACCUUAUCACCGUAUUAAGGUUAAACACAGUAGGCGACAUGCCCCUCUCUUUCAUUUGGCAAUAAAGCUCGUGGGCUUUCUCUGUGUUUCCGUUUCUAUAACAACCUUCUAUCAAAACGGAGUAUGUAACAUUAUUUGGAACAAUGCCUUCCUCAAGUGUACUAGAGAAUAAAUCUAAAGCGCUAGUUAAAUCUCCCUGAGCACAAUACCCUUGCAUCAAACUAGUUGAAACAACUAUAUUAGGUGGCAGGCCAUUAGCGAGCAUUUCACCUUUUAAACUCAACGCUUUGGUAAUGUUUCCUUGUUUGACACAAGCUCCGAUAACAGAAUUAUAUAUGAACUCAGUAGGAACAAAGCCAAGCCCUUUCAUCUCGUCCAAUAGAUCACAAGCCCGCGUCAAAUCGGACAUCCUGCAUGCUGAACGGAUAAUGGCAGCGUAAGCCCGCACAUCCGGUUUGAUUCCCAAAUUGACGAGUUCCUUGAAGUACGCUUCAGCUUCUUCCGGUUUCUCGUCCUUUAAACAAGCAUUCAUCAUUAUAUCAAGCGUUCGAAUGUUAACUUCCAUUUCCUUUUCCCGCAUCUCCCUGUAACACUCUCGAGCUCUCUCCGUACAAUUCGACUUAACCAUAGCUGUCAACAAAUUGUUUCUUGAAUUAACAUCAGGAAUUACACCGUUUUCGACAAUUCGGUGAAAAGCUUCCAUUGCUUCGUCCAUCCGACUAGAAUGUGCGUAACAACUCAGUAAGUAGUUAAACGAGCGAGGAUCAAAAUCGCACCUUUUUGAAGUCUCGAUCAGGUGAUCGACAAUAACAUUUGGGCGCCAGCUAGAAUUGCUCAAAAUGGAGUUUUUGAGCAAGCCUAGGGCGCCGGAAAUCCAGUUGCAUCGCGCGAGGAUAUGAAACGAGAUGCAGAGAGGAUUGAUACCCAUAAAUCCUCUAUGCAAUUUGAGGUACUUUGAAACCGAUUUGGGAUCGCUCUGGUUGUUUACAAGGAACUCGAUCGCACGCUUCUCCGACGGCGUGUUCAACGGAUCGAAAGCAGCGUAAAGUAGCCGAGUCGAAGAGAUUGAAGGGGGGGAUUGGGCAUUUCGAGGAUCCUCCGAAGUGGGUUCGGGAGAGGAAGUUACCUGAAGUGGACUCUCGCUGUGAGUCGAAUCGUGCGGAGGAAGAAGAGAAGAGGUAGAGGCGGAGCGUGCGAAGGGGAGAGGGCGCCAUGGAUGGAGAGGCAAUGACCUCCGUAGGGCAUUCAUGGAGGGAUCGGGGGAUGGUAGUGGGGAGUUAGGGUUUAGAGCGAAGAGGGGGAGGGGGUUUUAGGGUCAUGGGGUGGUCGGAGGAGGAAGAAGAGGCGGGUGGGCGGAGCGGGUAAAGUUGAGUUGCAUGAUUUGAAUCCGCUAUAGUUUCGAAUUUAAAUAGCGUAUAAAUAAGUAUAAAUAGUAUAAAUAUUUCAAAACAAUAUUAUAUAAUAAUUUUAAAUUAAAUUAAUAUGAAAAAAAAUAUUUAUUCUUGUUCUUGUACAUUAAACAUAGCAAAGAAAAUUCUAAAGCCUUUUCUAUGGUAGGACGGAAAGAAGUGAUUUUUAAACUCAAAAACUCAGAAGCUCCGAUUUAAAAUGCUUCUGUUUGGAACUUUUAAUUCUUUAAUAAUGCUGAUGAGGAAAAUCGAAUAUAAUAUUUUUUUUAACUCUUCCUCAAAUAUACAAAUUGAUAUUGUUUUACAGUUAGAAGUGUUUGGUUUCACGAAAGGACGUAAAAAUUAUUUUUUGAAAAACAAUUAUGAGAAAUACUGUUUUUCAUGCUUUGUUUUUUCGGACAAAAAAUUUAAAAAAUAUUAACACUACUUUUUCAAAAAUUCUAAUAAAAAAACCUACUUGUUUAAGAAACCAAACAAACAAAAAAAUUUAAAUAAAGUUAUUUUCUCAUAUAUUUUCGGAAAACCAAACACCCCCUCAGUUCUUUUAUUAAUUUUCCAAAUAUCAUGUGCGAUUUUAUUGUAGUUUUUUUUCGCCAUAGUCCAUCAAGCCAUUAUUGCAUGUGCACACAAGUAGAGUUACCUUAUCAUAACAAUUUCAUUACAUUUUUAAGAAUGAAUUUAUUAGUCUCAACUAUAUUUUUGGAAGUCACAGGCCGUCUCACAAGCAGCUGAAAGUUGAGAUGAGAUUAUGCCCAACGUAAAUUCAUUCAUCACUUUGUUCCUGCCAUGGGUUCAGCAUGCUACAAAGCGAAAGCGAAACAUUUUACCUCAUGCCAACAAAUAUGUAUUUGAGGUGCAGCACCAGUAGGAUAAUCCGGAGACUAAUACUGUUGAUUAGUACUUAAACGUGCAUCGGCACUCAGAAUUAGUUAUUCGUCGUGCUCCGUUGAGAGAUUUAGGAUGAGAAGUUCGCAGGUUCCGCCAAUUGCGGUAAUCUGGAAAUGGUCCUCUGUAUGCUGUUGUACUCCAUCCGCAAUUAUCCCGUUUACCUGAUGAGUAUAAAAGUAGUAGAGUUUGGCAGGUUUAGCUCUUCGCCAAGUACCAAAUAACAUGCUCAAAAUCUGCAAUCAGUCAAGCAAGUAUAAACUAAAACUUGUGAGAUUUGGAUCGGCUUGUGGAAAAGCUUAUCUGCUUUAGAAGCAGAAACACAUAUUGCAAAUAAAAAAAAAACUUAGAGAUUUCAGCUGCAGUGGGAUAUUCAACACGAGCUUCUAAGGCCAAAAUCAGAAGCUCGAACAGUCAAAUCUGACGUUUGUAGUGGCAGGAAACAUUUGGGGAUUUCAAGAUUUGCUAGGCCUUUCUUUGAACACUUUAGUCGCACAACAAUUUUGCGAAAUCUCCAGCCAGUCAAAACAAGCCUAAGUACAGAAUGCCAUGAUUAAAAAAGAAAAAAAGAAGAGCACAAAUCAAACCUGAUUUCUGUCUGGCAACAAUGAAAUCCACAGCCCGCAAAGACUUAUGCAGAACUGCCCUAUUUGUGUCUGACAAGAUAGGCACUUGUGCAAUGACUGACUUUAGGUAGGUUCCGAAAAUAGAUACUGAAGCAAGGGAGCCACUACUGCUACACUCAUACUGUUGCCCAACAAGGCAUACCUGCCAAAAUAGGCCAUUUUAAGCCUUUUCAAAAUGACGCUAUACCCAUAAAGAUAAACCAGAGUUGAACUUGAUGAAGAAUCAGAAUUCAAAUGGAUUCCAUAGCAGCACAUAAAAAUGACAAAGUAUCCCUUUGGCACCUUACUUUAGGCCCUUCAACCAUUUAGUUACCAGACAUCUAAUCAAAUUCUAGACCACCAGCUAUCCUUAAAACUAUCUUAACCCUGAUUUAUAAGGAAGGUAUAAUGUUGGUAAGAAAUUCAAGGCAUAAAAAGUAACUAACCGUUGUCUAAGGCCGAUGUGACCUGGGAAGUCGAAAUCCUCAGGUAAAGAGUGCAAAUUGGCAACCUGAUGUGUAAAUCAUGAAUUGGUUAAAAAUUUAGCCAAAAACAUGUGAAGAUUUGAAGUGUACUAACCUCUCGUGGUGUGAAAAAUCGUAGGAACAUCUCCUUCCCCGAAGAAAUUUCAGGGUUUUCUUCUGGCUUCAAUUUGGAUUUCUGGGAGGUAAAAUAAAAAAAUUUAGCAGGAACAAUAACUAUUACAGAUGUUUCUGAAAAACUGGGUGAAAAUAAAGAAGAAAUAUUAGGGAAUUGUCCCACCUCAGAAGUCGCCAGUAAGGAGCCGGUUCCCUUCACAUAACGGUAAUAGCUUUUGGUAAAACAACAGCAGCGUUUAGAUUCAGGGUAUACAAUAUCUGGUUCAAGGUUAAAGAUUGCCUGAACGUGACACAAACUAGGCAACUAGUUUUCCAGCUACAUCAAAGUAAUGUUGAAAGUUUUAGAAAAAAAGACCAAGGAUACCCAUGGCAUUUCCCCAUCUCUCAAUCAAGCUUAGUGGGACAACAUACUCAUGCAGAAAACUUUGCUUUUUAAUGCUUCCUUUUACUUCUUCUCCAUGUUGACUUGUGUUGGUUUCAAUAGUAUCAAUUUCUUCAAGUGCAGCUCUAUCGGCCAAAACAUCUUCACUUCUGAAUUCAGAAGCCACUCCUACAAACUCCUGCUGAUGGCUAUACAAACUCUCUUUUUCCAAAAAACUUCUAAUUGGCUCACAAACUGUUUGGAGUUCCUCCUUAUUUUCAACAGCGUGCUGGCUUGUCUCUGUUAUUAUAGUACUCUCAGAUGUUCUGCAUGGAGGUGUCCAAAGCAGCUUGUUAUCGGAAAGUGAGUUCUGAAAGGAUAAAGGUUUUCUUUUCGCCUGCAUAUAUUACAAUGAAUUGAAAGAAUGGGCCCGACGCUGAAAAGGACAUUGAAACACAGUGGUUGAAUUAUUCAACAUUCUUACAAAAACUAUAAUACCAAAGAGAAUGAGAUACCAGGCAAAAGUAGCGAGGUCUCGAAUAUGGAAUUCCAAAUUGCAAUGGGCUUAAGAUAUAUUCUUGAGUAACAAAACCAAGCCUGGCAAGAACUUCCAUCAAUUGCUUGUGUGUGUCAGAUAUCUGCAACAAAACAUGAAUAAACUUCUCAUCUAUUCGUUUAAACUAGAAAACUCAGCAAAUCGAAAGCUUUACAGCAUAAUGUUUUACAAAAUUCACAAACCUCAAAUCCAACUACAUUUUCCACAAAUAACAGUAGUGGAGGCUGAAGCAUGUGUGGCAUAAGGUCAAGAAUCUUAAUGAAUGAAGAUGCCCGAGCAUCAGCUGAAUGUUUUUUCAGACCUAACAGUAGCAACUCUAAAUUAGACCCAAUAAAAUCAAAAAGUUGGAAGAAUCACAAAAAGUUAAAAACAAAGUCAGAAGAUAAACCCUGUCGCGUGUAUGGUUGACAUGGAGGGGAAAGAAGCCAUCCGUGUGCCCUGUACUUGUCUAGGUCAGCAGCAGUAAGUAUUUGGAUGUUUCCCUUCAGCCAACAAAACCAUUUAAGUUCUACUUUACCAAUUUACCAAUAUAUAAUGAAGGCUACAAUCCCCAACAAUUUCCAACAAUAUAUCUAAAGUUAACUUUAUAAUUAUAGUAACAAAAACAAUAACAUAUAUGGUGAGAAUAAGGCCAAGUUUGGGAAUGCUUCCUCUACGGCAGCCACUUUGAUACUUCAGAGCUCCACAAAUCCAAAAGCAAAGUGCAGCUCCGCCCUCUUUGUAGCAACCAAUGAUCAUGAGAUAAUGGUGGGAUCUUGGGUUGAGAUGCUGAGUGCUUCAUGCAAGAUUCUACCAUACGAUAGUUUCGAUUGGAUAAUAGGAUAGUGUUUUUCAAUUCCGCGGAGCAAUAAAGCAUCAAACCAACUGCUACAGUGGAAGCAUUCCUAAACAAGGCCUAAGUUGCAUUGAUCAAUCAAUUCCAAAUAAGAAAGCAUUUUUAUGUCGUUUACACCCAACUAUGCCCCAAAGCCAAUCCUUUGAGAAGAUUAAAAUUAAUUUAGCACAAAAAAGUACACCAAUUUCCUAAGAAAGCAUAGAAACUUCUCUCCGAAACAGAGAUUAAAACUAGAUCUCUAAAAACUAAAGGCUAUCAUUAGCGUUACAAGAUUUGACAGACCAAAAUUUGUUCAUCAGUGUAUUUCAUCUUCGUUAUUUCAGUACUUCAAAAGUGCUUUAUAUUCGAAGGAGAAAAUCAUAUUACAACAGGAAAAAUAAAUAAUCAUCAUUAUUAUAACCAUAAUUACACCAUCCAUAAUUACACCAACCAGAAUUCUUACUAUCAACCAGCAAAUUAUCACAAAAUCACACUCGAAUUCGUUUCUAUUCAGAAUAAUUGCUACUGUUCAGAGAAAAAUCCAACGCAUCGUAUAAGAAUGGAACCUGGAAAGGGCGAUGGCCAAAGUUGUGCUCGUACACAUCGUUGGCGCGAUCGUUGAUGUCGAACGCCUCCACCACCUCUCCCCGAACCCCGGCCUUGAUCAAAGAAUACCUCUACACGAUCCAACAAUGGCGAAUUCGAAUCACGGAGAAGGAGAGAGAGAGAAUGGAAUGAGAGAGAGAGGAAACCCUAGAUCGAGGAGGGAUUUGCACGUACCAUGGCGCCGAUGCCGCUGUAGAACUCGAGGAUCCUCCACGGCUCCUCCAUUGCCCUGCGACUCGCACUCCCCCAAAGUCGAUCGAGUUUUGUUGAAUUUGCGUUCGCAGAGCGAAGAACGUGACUGGAGUAAAAUACGUGCCGGGUCGGGUCUAGUUUCGGGUCCGGUUAUAUUUGCUUAUCGGGUACACCUGGCUUGGGUCGAAUCGGAAAUAACUCCGACGCCUCUAUAUUUUCUUUUUUUUUAAAAAAAAAAAUCACUAGUUUGAGACAAGAAUUUGGAUCAACGUUUUGUAUGACCACGAACGCUAAAAUUUAAAACAUUAGUAAAUUUAAUAAAUCUAACAACUACUUGACUAGCAUAGUUAGUUAAAUUUUCAUGUCAUUUUAAAAAUAAGAUAAUUUCUAAUUAUUCUUAUCAUUAUUUUAUUUUAUUAGAGGGGGAAAAAUUAUAAGUACUUCUAAAAUUUUAACCGUCCUAAACACGAAACCAAUAUACUUUUAAAUAUUGUAAUUCCAAAUUAAAUUUUUAUUAUUUAGUAAAUAAUUGUCCGUUGGGUAGAAAUAAUUUUUAGCUUCCAUAUUUUUUUAUUUGCUAUAAAACUUGCUAACUUGUGAGUGUAUAUUUUUUUUGUUUUUUGGGUGCAUAUAUUGUGAUAUUUGGACAUUUAUUGAAAGAGAGGAGUGAUCUUUAUUGCUUGAUUUUACUUUUCAAUCAAUUGUUCGGUUACUAUUAUUUUUUAGUGGACGAUGUAUUUUUUCAGUACGUUUUUCUUUCCUAUUAUUUAUAGUUUUCGCUGCACCUCCUAUUAAGGAUUGUUUUUUUUCCCAUAUCUGGUAUGCCACGUUGGAUCAUUUGAAUUUAAUUAAUCCUAUUAAAUUAUGCAAGUUGGAUUUUUAAUAAAAAAAUAUAAAAAUUUUACAUUAUUUUAUAAUACAUAUGAAAUUUAUGUUGGCUUUUUUAUUAUUGAGCUUCGGAAUGCAAAUGGAUUCAGGGUGGUGGUUCUCCCGCUACGAUCCAUUUCGAAUGGGACAGUAAAUAAAAAUAAAAACUAUAAAAAAAAUAUAAUCCAUUCCAAAUCCGCUCCGAUUUGCAAGUAAAUGGAGUGGGAGGCAGGAGACAUUUUUCGUCCUUCAAAAUGCUUCUAUUCGUCAAAACUUCGCUCCCGCCUCGAUCCGCUCCGAAUGAGACAGUAAAUAGGAGCUAAAAAUAAAAUGAAAAAUAAUCUACCCUAAGUUUACACCGUCCUGACAAGAAAUGAAGUAAGAGGUGGGAGAACAUUUCCGCCCUUGGAUCCGUCUCAUUUGCAUCCCUAAUUAGGCUAGAAUAAGUUCAGCUUUUUAUCCGGUGAUAAUAGACCUAGGAGAGUAAUAAGUUGAGUUUGAUGAGUCUAAUAAGUUGAGUGGAUCUGCGAUUCAUAAGAGACUUAAACGGUAAGAGACUCAACAAACCCAAUUUACAGGCGGGUUGAGUCGGAUCGAAACCCGCGAGCUCUGUGGUUGAGCCCUUAAAUGCGAUAAGUGCGUACUUUCUACGAGUUUUUUCGGAAUAAUUGGUUAGCGCAUAUAAUCUAUAAUUUAUUUUUAAAAAAAUUUUAUAUUAGAUAUUUUUUUUUACGUAUAUUGUUCUCUGAAUUUUGUACCGCUGAAAUCUAAUUCUACGAAUUUUUUUAUUCAAAAAAACCCGUUGAUCUAAAUCAAGCUCCCCUCUGAGACACCUCAGCACGAAUCUCCACGCACACCACACGCCACACGAGGCACGUGCGACCGCUCCACCACUCACACGAUUGCAACCUCCCACGAGGCCACGAUCCCAUCCGUCCAUCCAUCCAUGGAUCCACCCCCUCUCACACUGUCCCUUGUUUUCUCACUCCCCGUAAAAUACAAAACCCCACAAGCUCAAAUAAUAGAGAGAGAGAGUAGAGAGAGAAAAAGAGGACACACGAGUUCAAAUCCAAAGGGGCGACCUGAGAACUCCGUAGGUGGUGGCGGCGACGCGAUGUGGCGGAGAGCCUCCUCCCACCUCCAAACCCUAGCCGUGCUCCGAUCCACCCUCCGCCGCGAUCCACCCCUCAUCCGCCACCGCGGCGGCGUAGCCCUCCUCUCCUCCGCCGCGCUCCGGCGAACCUCGCCCCUUCUCGCCCCCGAUUCCGGUGAGAUCUCCAUCUCCCUCUCUCCGAUCUAAUCCCUCCUCGUUGCCUUCUCUUUGUUCCGAUCGCUAUGGAGAUUUGUUGCUCGAUUCGUGAAGGCGAUGCCCCGGCGAAGAAGAGGGUGGAGGACGUGAUGCCGAUCGCCACGGGGCUCGAGCGCGAGGAGCUCGAGGCGGAGCUCGAGGUGCGCCUAGAUCGAGCUCGUUGGUUAUUUGUGUUUUGUUUCUUUCCAAAUGGCUUGGGAUUUAGGGGAAUUUGUUAGUUGUUGUUGAUGGAUUGAUUGUUGUUUGUUGUAGGGGAAGAAGCGGUUCGAUAUGGAUCCUCCGGUUGGACCGUUCGGAACCAAGGUGUGUUAGUUUCCUGAAUCUGAAUCUUCCAAUUCGCUAUUUAUCCACAAUUUGAUGUCUUCUGUAUUUGUGAAAUUUAUGUGAAUUUCAUGGGAUAGAAAUUGCAAUUUAGAUUGUCUGUGCUUGAUUGUGUUUGCUUUAGGACUUUAGAUAAACGUAGUUUCUCAGUGUUGAUCGAAUUAAUAGUUGGAAAAUUGUACUCAUCCUUUUCUUUCUUCAAAUGCUUGUGUAGAUUAUUUAGGAAUUAUGAUGAUGAGCUUUGGGCCUUCUCUCGUAUGCCUAAAUGAGGUGCAUCAGAACUAUUAAGAUUUGAUACAAGAUUGGUGGUUAAAGCCUUGCACCUCAGAACUAUUAAGAUUUGAUACAAGAUUGUUGGUUAAAGCCUGGAGCACAACUUAAUAUUUGAAAGGCAGUGUUCAAUGGCUCUUAACCUAUCUCAGGUUUUAGACAUGGGCUUUAUAUCCUUGCCAUAAGUAAAAUAAGACAAGAUAAAUGAGCUACAAUGAAACUCAUAUGCUAACUAGCUUUUAUGAAUUCUUUUGUCUUAUUUCCUGGAUACGGAAAGACAGGAAGAGUCUGGAUGAAGGGAAAACAAUAGUGUAGGGAGUUCUCUUCAUAUUUGGGGCACAAAUAAACUGAAGAGUUUCAAGGAAAACUCCAAUUAAGACCAAGAUCAUAAAGAAAACUCUACCAGUCAUGAUUUUGUUCGUCAUGUUACAUAGUCAAGAUCAAGUAUUAUCUAACCCCAGCUAAAUCAGCUGCCAAGGUUACAAAUUUUUAGCUUAAUCAUCUUUAAGUAUAAAUUAAGACAACGGUUUUAAGUAUUAGUAGAUUUAUUGUUUACAUUAGUUGAUUUAUUUAAUUGUAAUUUGUUACUUGAGUCGUUGAGUUAAAAUGCUAUAUGGAAAUUCAUAUCCUUUGUAUUGCCACAAUCAGCUCAACCAAUCAAAUCAUUUUGGUGGCAGCAGCUCAUUUAAUUUGAGCUAGAUAACUAGGUGGUAGUUUUUCUAUACUGGCUUGAGCUUGGUUCGAUGAUCUUGCUAUUACAAAGUUAGUUGUAACUGGUUGGUGGGUUUUAAGCAAGCUUCACUUGUUUAGGAUCAGCAAUUAGAGGCACAUUUGGCAUUGUGAAUUUAUUUUUAGGCUCUAAAUUUAUAGGUGUAUUUUGCAUUGCCACUUUGUUUUCCAUUUUCUAGGAUUGUUGAUUGUUUUAUAUUAUUGAUCAACAUGUUUGGCAUUGAUUGUUAGUUUGGCUCCUUUUUUCUUUUUCCCCCCCUUCUUAAGGAACAUAGUUGUAACAUUUUUUUGUCAUAAAAACAUGGGUUGUUUUUGCAAGCAAAGAGGCAGCGACAAAUUUAAAGGUGUAGUUCAAUACAUUUUAAUAUUUAGUCUUCUUAAAAUUACGACAUAAUAACUAUUGUAGAUGCAUUAUAAGGAUAUGUUUAUAUGCAGUGAUUUGUGUGGAUUAGAGUUCUGUUUUGUCAUUGGAAGGUUAUCUUCCCUUUAAUACCUUUUUUGAUAUUUAGGGCUUGUUUGGUUCAUCCAUUUGGGGUAUGGAAUGAGAAUCAGUUUGAUCAAAUCCGGUUAAUUUUGUUUGGUUCGCAUGAAUCGGUUUGAGAUUCUUAUUCCGGACUGGAAUGGGAAUGACCCAUUAGCCUUCAACUUGAUUCCGGUCUUCUAGCCCGGAUUGAGAUUUCAUUCCGGAAGCCCACUAAGUUUUCGAAAUCCAUGUGACCAUCUCACCCUCCUUCUCUUCACCCCUUUCUCAUCAAAAAAAAAAAAAAAACCUAUCCUCUCUCAAAAUCCUAUCCCUAACCCACAUCAAUAAAAGUUUUUAAAAAUAAAUUUGAUAUUUUUUUUGGAAAACUUAUUAGAGAAUAGUAUUAUAUUUUUCAUAAAUUUUAAAUAAUAUAAAUUUAUAUUUGAGAGUAAAAUUAGUAUUAUAAUAUUCUAUAAUUUUUUGAGUUUAUACGAACCAAACAAUGAAAUGUGAAUAACUCAUUCCAAUUCCCAAUCCACAAAUAAACCAAACGUCUUGGGGGAGUGGGCCAUUCCAAUUACCAUUCCAAUUCAUUCCCAUUCCAUUAUCCAUUCCAAUUCCAUCUUUGAACCAAACAAGCCCUUACUGUCUAGCGACUUGUUUGAUUAAUGGAAGCGAUAUAUGUUUGGUACAAGUCUGGUAGUCAGCUUUCUGUGAUUACUAACACUGGAAAUUGGGCCCGUGUUAACUGUAUUUUCAUAUGAUUUAGAAUAUUUUAUUGCAUUCAUCUCUUGAUACUUGUUUUAAGAUUUGAAGAUACUUAGAUUAUUGUUUCUUCCAGGUAUCUUACUUGUAUUGAUAAUAUGUAGUGGCUCCUUAAUUUCUGCAACACACCUCAGGGCCUGUUUGGCAAACUCGUAAUACAGAGUAAUAAGUUAGAUUGCUCUGUUUCUUAAAAAAACUCCUUUUUUCCUAGUUGGUCCAUUUGGAAGGUUCAAUAAAGUAAAAAAAAUUACUUUGUAAUAUAAAUCUUAUAGAGUAAUUUUGGCGUUAAAAAAAAUUGAUUGGAGCUCUUUAAAAAAAUACUUUACUCGUUGCGUCGCUUCCCCUCACCCCUCCUGCCGCUCCUUUUCGUUCUUCCGCCCCAUCCUUUCCCCUCCACCCUCUCCCUCUACUCCCUCUGACUUUGACGACGACGGCGACAAGAUGUGGGAGGCGCUGCCGAUGACGCCACCGCUGACUGUGCGCCCCUCCACCUCCCCGUCGCGGCCGCUGCAGCCCACAGAUGCUCUCGCUCCGAGAUGGGACACCGGUGGGUUCUUCAUGUUGGGUUGUCUAGACGAAGGGUGGUGAUGAAGAUGGGAGGGAUGAGGAGGUGGUGGGUUUGAGCAGGGAGAAGGCAGUGGGGAUGGGUUUGAGCAAGGAGAAGGUGGUGGUGGUUGUGGGCUUUUUUUUUUCACAGUAAUUUUUUUUUUUUUUGCAAAUUUGAGCCAAACACUAAAAAACAGGGUAAAAAAUUAUGAAGUAUUAAGAUUUUGGUAUCAAUCUAUCACAAUAAAAGAUAAAACUCUGUUUUUAAUCUCUAAGAUUGCCAAAUAGACCCUUAAUUGCUGUGGUAUCAAAGCAUAAAACAUUAACACAUUGUUUCUCUGCCAUUUUUCACCCACUGUUUUUCUUGCUGUUCUGUUUUUAGCCUGCAGCCUGCCUCAUGAACAGAUACUUCAGCGAAAAAUAACAAAUGAAUUAAGGAGAAUUUGUAUCUCUUUCCUUUAGUUCUGCUUCUUUCAAUUUUGGCUGUUAGUCACUAGAAAACUACUGUGACUCUUUCUUUGUUUUCUUAUUGUGGUUUUUUUAUAGGAAGCACCAGCUGUCAUCGAGUCCUACUAUAACAAGAGAAUUGUCGGUUGUCCUGGUGGUGAAGGAGGUACCAAACCUUGAAAUAUAGCUCUUCUUCUGUACUUGUAGCCUUCUACAUUCAGAAGUCCUAAUAUUUUAUACAAAGAAAGGAUUCAACUUUUCGGAACCACUUAUUUGCAGAGGAUGAGCACGACGUCGUAUGGUUCUGGUUGGAAAAGGACAAACCACACGAAUGCCCAGUUUGCUCCCAAUAUUUUGUGGUAAUUGAGAUGGAUUAACAUAUUUAAAAUUUACAUUUUCUAUGUCCAACAAGAAUAAAUUGCAUAACAACAUGAUUUCUGUAUUAACAUGAAGAGCCAUGAUAUCUUCUGCAGCUGAAGGUGAUUGGCGACGGAGGAGAUCCGGACGGCCAUGGUGAUGAUGAUCAUCACUGACCAUGCACGCGCUUCCGCAGAAUAAAAAUUGGUUGCGAAGAUGAGGUCUGUAAUACUUUGUAGCAUCGAGACAGCUUUGUGCUUUCUCUUCCCGACAAGUAUUCUUGUUCUUGACCAUGAAUCUGGUGGUUUUCUUUAUCUGAGAAUUUUGCUUAUUCCCGCAAUUCGACCUGUGAAUUUCUUAGCAUUUUUAUAAUGCAUCAAAUAAUGGAGGGACUCGUUGAUCGUCGAUUAUUCUGUUCUUUCGUCUGUUUCCAUUACCAACCGUUUGAUGGAUUCCUCUGUUUGGGGUAAUCUGUAGUGUCUUGUACAUUCAAUUUGACGAUUUCUUUUUUCUUUCUUCUGGGUGGAAUUUUUAUAGCCUCGCAAAUUUUGCUACGAAAAACACUUUAUGGAGUACUUAAUAUAUAUUAGCAUUUUUGCGGGUAAAUUUUUCACUCCUAUGGGAGUUUGAACCUGAGUCUCUCCCGUGGGGGAGCUUGCUAACCGUAACUAAACACCAUGCUUCUAAUGGUACUUCUUGUAUAGUAUUUUAUAAAUACUAACAUUACCUACACUCUUAAACAGGGCUAAAGUAGACCCUACGCUAGUAACAGCGUUCAUUUUACGGAAAAAAAGAUAAUAGCUUUUGUGCAGUAAAACAAGGCUAAUGAACCAAGUAGUAAGGAUAAGUAAUGCUGCUUCAAAUGCCAUUUCGAAUUUCGUUUGAGAUCUCAUGUGUGUAAAUAACAAGACUCCCAGCUGUGUUUCUAGAACAAAAUCUUCCUGUUUGCUCUUUUGUGCUUUGUAGUAUUUAUAUGCUCUAAGGCUACCACCUACAUGGCCAUACAUAGGGUUGGUAACUUAAGUAGGACAAAUGGACAAUUUUAACUUAUUUCGGAGGGUAUCAAUCCGCCUUAGCAUAGAUAGAUAAGGUACUCAGCUCUCAAGCUGUGGGUCCCGAUUCAAUUCUAUAUUCUAUCAAAAUAAAAAUUUCAGAUUUCAGUAAAUGUACGAACCGAGUCAGAAAUAAAAAAGAAAAGAAGCCCUCAAUGUAGAGGAUGCUUAUUCGGUAAAAAAAAGAAAAAAGAAAAUGAAAGGUGCAACAGUAUAAAUCACACCUAAACUAUAGCAUGCUUUAAAAUAGCUAUAUUAUUUUUAAAUGUUAGGAUUUCACUAAUUUGAAUUGCUUUUCUAAUAGAUUAAAGAACCCUAAAAACUUUACUACCUAACUAUGAAGCAUUAACAGAAAUUUUGGUAGAAUAUACCGUUAAGUAACAAAACGUUCAAUCAACCUACGAAAUAUUACGAGAAAAAUAUUAUGAACACUUUACAAAUAGAAAGUUAAAAUCAAAAGUUGUUGAAGUUCAGGCGCCUAUUUUAAAAGUUGUGAUUUUAAAAGUUGAGGCAUCUUCAAAACGUUCAAGAGUUGGAGGUGUUAUUGGCUCUAAUACCCCAGUUAUCAUUGCACCUUAAUUUUGAUAAAACUCGUUCAAUCUAAAAACUUAGAUUUAGAGAUCGUGCGCAUGAGAUAUCUACAAAAAAUUCUAUUUUAUUAUUCAAUGUGGGACUAUUUAUAUGCGAAUUUCUGACCAGGUUAACUUUCUUUUCUUUUUUCCUUUUUCUCUGCGGUUCCUUGGCCACUACUGCUCCUACUAGUGAUUAAACUAAAAUAGUUGCAAUAUUUAGUUUAAUUUAAUCCAGUUGUUGGUUUAUUAUGGCCAAUUUUUACUUAGUUAAUGAAUUGAGCCGCGGUAACUUACAAGUGGUUUGCACUUACAUUAUAUUAUGAGACCAAAAAGAAGGGAAUAUUUUUCUUGUCCAAGUUUACUGCUAUACCUAUUUUCUAUUUCCACUAUAAUAGAACAAUAAAUUUUUUAUGACAUUUUUAUUCAACAUUCCUUCCACACUAUAUUAGUCUUAUAUUUCACUACAAAAAAAUUACAGUAAUUGCAAGUGCAUAACCAGUUUUGUAGUGAAAUGCUAUUCCUAGAAAUUUUAUUGUGGAAAAUGUGCGGAUGUUCCCUCUAUUAUCUCGACUUUGUGAUUUGGUCCAUGUACAUUUCACUUACACACUUUAGUUCAAAGAAUUACAUUUUAUUAUAAAAUAACCAUUUUGUUUCUGUUGAAAAUGGCUCAUUUAUUUAAGUUAUUACAUCAGAGCGUUAAAAAAAUUUAUCAGUACACCUUUAUCUUACACUCUAUCAAUCCAAGCAUUAAAACAAUCUUUUUAAAAUUUUAAUAUUACAAAAAAGAAUCAUGAUAAGACUACUGAGAUAAAAUUAAUUUUUAGAUGAAUAGAAUGUAAGAUUUACACUCACUUUUGUGUGUACAUAUGACAGGGUUCUUUACAAAAAUAUUAGAAUUAUUCUAUUGUGAAAAA